This 58446-nucleotide long non-coding RNA is filed under the name Triticum aestivum (bread wheat). Its description in RNAcentral is "long non-coding RNA (TAES_LNC007044)". Lineage: Eukaryota; Viridiplantae; Streptophyta; Magnoliopsida; Poales; Poaceae. The record is from RNAcentral.
AAAGAAAAAGUUCUUUUAUGAUUUAAUACAUUACUUCUGGGAUGACCCACACCUUUAUAAAGAAGGAGUAGGUGGUGUUAUUAGACGUUGUGUACCUGAGCAUGAACAGGAACAGAUCCUAUGCAAGUGUCACUCUGAAUCGUAUGGAGGACACCACGCUGGAGAUAGAACUGCACAUAAGGUAUUGCAAUCCGGUUUUUAUUGGCCUACUCUCUUCAAAGAUGCUCGUAAGUUUGUCUUGUCUUGUGAUGAAUGUCAAAGAAUUGGUAAUAUUAGUAGACGUCAAGAAAUGCCUAUGAAUUAUUCUCUUGUUAUUGAACCAUUUGAUGUUUGGGGCUUUGAUUAUAUGGAACCUUUUCCUGCCUCUAAUGGUUACACACAUAUUUUAGUUGAUGUUGAUUAUGUUACUAAGUGGGUAGAAGCUAUUCCAACUAGUAGUGAUGAUCAUAAUACUUCUAUUAAAAUGCUUAAAGAAGUUAUUUUUCCGAGGUUUGGAGUCCCUAGAUAUCUUAUGACUGAUGGUGGUUCACAUUUUAUUCAUGGUGCUUUCCGUAAGAUGCUUGCUAAGUAUGAUGUUAAUCAUAGAAUCACAUCUCCUUAUCACCCACAGUCUAGUGGUCAAGUAGAGUUGAGCAAUAGAGAGCUCAAAUUAAUUUUGCAAAAGACUGUCAAUAGAUCUAGAAAGAACUGGUCCAAAAAACUUGAUGAUGCAUUAUGGGCCUAUAGAACUGCAUAUAAAAAUCCUAUGGGUAUGUCUCCGUAUAAGAUGGUUUAUGGAAAAGCAUGUCACUUACCUCUUGAACUUGAACAUAAAGCAUAUUGGGCUAUUAAAGAGCUCAACUAUGACUUCAAACUUGCUGGUGAGAAGAGGUUAUUUGAUAUUAGCUCACUUGAUGAAUGGAGAACCCAAGCCUAUGAGAAUGCCAAGCUGUUCAAAGAAAAAGUCAAACGCUGGCAUGACAAAAGGGUACAAAAGCGUGAGUUAAUGUAGGUGAUUAUGUGUUACUUUUCAACUCUCGUUUAAGAUUUUUUGCAGGAAAACUUCUCUCUAAAUGGGAAGGUCCUUACGUUAUCGCGGAGGUCUAUCGUUUUGGUGCCAUAAAAAUCAACAACUUCAAAGGCACGGGUCCGAGGGUGGUGAACGGUCAAAGAAUCAAACAUUAUAUCUCAGGUAAUCCAAUCAAUGUUGAAACUAAUAUUAUUGAGACUGUAACCCCGGAGGAAUACAUAAGGGACACUUUCUAGAAUGUUUCAGACUCCGAAAAGGAAUAGGUAUGUGGUACGGUAAGUAAACCAACUCCAAAACAGUUCUAAUGGAAAUUUUUCUCCGUUUUGGAAUAUUUAAGAAUUUUGGAAGAAAGAAGUAAUCCAGGAAGGACACGAGGCCUCCACGAGGGUGGAGGGCGCGCCAACCCUUACUGAGCGCGCCCCCUGUUUCGUGGGCACCUCGUGUGCCUCUCGGACUCCAUUUUCUUGCAUGUUACGUAUUUUAGUCGGUAAAAAUUCAUUACAUAAUCUCCCAAAGGUUUUGACCACCGUAUCACGCAAAUAUCCUAUGUUUUCGUUUCGAGCUGUUUUUCUGACAGAUCUAGAGCACCAUGACGUCUCCAAGCGCUCCCAAGGACAAGUUUUUCGAGAGGGUUAUUAACCCCUAUCUCACGGAGGUGCUGCAACACCCUCAAACCAUUGAGAUGCGUGAGGGGGUGCUGCACAUCCGUGAUGUGGAGGGACCAAGGCGUACCGGAAGUGUGGAGACAAAGCUCGAAGCCAUGGAGCAACAAGUUUUCAAGUGCCAAGGGAUGGUGGAGCGUGGACUCAACGCCAACCAGAUGAUGAUCACGGAGUUCACCAACAACCACAAGCUAGAUGCCAAGAUCAUUGGGGAGACCAUCUUCAAGCUUCAAGAGAAAAUCGAGCACCUCCAAGCCCAGAUCUAUGACCUGCAAAACCAAAACUGUGAGUAUGAAUAUAGAUUCAAGAGGAUGAGUUUGGCUGCAGAUUUGAGGAUCCUAGAGACUCGAUCAUCCUUCUAUGAUGGUGAUCCUAUGCCUUGGAAGAUGGACAACAAGCCUACAUCAUCAACAACUCCUACUUCACCACCUCUAAGGACAUAAUUACAUGGGUAUGGGCACUCCCCUUGGCAACUUCCAAGCUUGGGGGAGGUACCCCGGUAUCGUAUCACCAUCACACUCCUAUCUUUAUCAUUUUAGUUAGUUCGAUCCUUUUUAGUAAUAUCUUGAUCUAGUAGAUUGAAGUUUUGGUAUCAAGUAGUUUUGAGUUUUGCUUUGUGAUCUCUUUAUGUAAUCGAGUUCGUGAGCUAUCUAUAAUAAAGAUUAGUGUUGAGUCAAGGGCUUUAAUAUCUUGUUAUGAUCUUGAGAAACUAUAAAGAAUAAAAAGAAUAAUAGGGUUCAUAUUGAUCUUGUGGAUAGUAAUGACUUCACACAUAAAAAGUAUGAGGCAUAAAAGUUGUUGAGAGUUGACAAACGUAGUUUUGGUCAUCGUUGCAUUUAAUAGGAAGUAAUAAGGAAAGAGAGGUUUUCACAUAUAAAUAUACUAUCUUGGACAUCUUUUAUGAUUGUGAGCACUCAUUAAGUAUGACAUGCUAAAAGAGUUGAUGUUGGACAAGGAAGAUAACGUAAUGGUUUAUGUUUUCUCACAUCUCAGUUAAAGUAUAUUGUCAUUGAUCUUCCCAACAUGUUGAGCUUGCCUUUUCCCCUCAUGCUAGCCAAAAUUCCUUGCACCAAGUAGAGAUACUACUUGUGCUUCCAAAUAUCCUUAAACCAGUUUUGCCAUGAGAGUCCACAAUACCUACAUUUGGAUUGAGUAAGAUCCUUCAAGUAAGUUGUCAUGUUGCAAGCAAUAAAAAUUGCUCUCUAAAUAUGUAUGACUUAUUAGUGCGGAGAAAAUAAGCUUUAUACGAUCGUGUGAUAUGGAAGUAAUAAAAGUGACGGACUGCAUAAUAAAGGUUCAUAUCACAAGUGGCAAUAUAAACUGACGUUCUUUUGCAUUAAGAUUUUGUGCAUCCAACCCUAAAAGCACAUGACAACCUCUGCUUCCCUCUGCGAAGGGCCUAUCUUUUACUUUAUGUUUUUUACUUUAUACUUGAGUCAAGGUGAUAUUCACCUUUCCCUUUUUCAUUUUAUCCUUGGGCAAGCUCCUCGUGUUUGAAAGAUCCUGAUAUAUAUAUCCAAUUGGAUGUAAGUUAGCACGAAUUAUUAUUGUUGACAUCACCCAAAGGUGAAUACGUUGGGAGGCAACACAAUAAGCCCCUAUCUUUCUUAGUGUCCGACUGAAACUCCAUAACCACAAGUAUUGCGUGAGUGUUAGAAAUUGCAGAAGACUAUAUGAUAGUUGAGUAUGUGGACUUGCUGAAAAACUCUAUUCUUGACUAUUUUUGGUGUUAUAAUAAAUUGCAAUUGCUUCAAUGACUGAGAUUAUAGUUUGUUAGUUCCCAAUGAAGUUUCUGAACCAUACUUGACAUUGUGAAUUGAUUGUUACUUGAGCAUAAGAAACCAUAUGACAAAAAUCUAUAUAUGUUGUUGUUAUAAGAAUGAUCAGUAUGCCCUCAUGUCCGUAUUUUAUUUUUAUCGACACCUCUAUCUCUAAACAUGUGGACAUAUUUUUCCAUUUUGGCUUCCGCUUGAGGACAAGCAAGGUCUAAGCUUGGGGGAGUUGAUACGUCCAUUUUGCAUCAUGCUUUUAUGUCAAUAUUUAUUGCAUUAUGGGCUGUUAUUACACAUUAUGUCUCAAUACUUAUGGCUAUUCUCUCUUAUUUUACAAGGUUUAUCAUGAAGAGGGGGAAUGUCGGCAGCUGUAAUUCUGGCUGGAAAAGGAGCAAAUAUUGGAAACCUAUUCUGCACAGCUCCAAAAAUCCUGAAACUCCACCAAAGUUAUUUUUGGAAUUAAUAAGAAUUAUUGAGCGAAGAAAACACCAGAGGGGGACCACACCCUGGCCAAGAGGGUGGGGGGCACGCCCACCCCUACUGGGCGCGCCCCCUGUCUCCUGGGCCCCCUGGUGGCCCUCCGGUGCCCAUCUUCUGCUAUAUGAAGGCUUUUACCCUGAAAAAAUAAAUCAUAAGCAAGCUUACGGGACGAAACUCCUCCGCCACAAGGUGGAACCUUGGCGGAACCAAUCUAGGGCUCCGGCGGAGCUGUUCUGCCGGGGAAACUUCCCUCCGGGAGGGGGAAAUCAUCACCAUCGUCAUCACCAACGGUCCUCUCAUUGGGAGGGGUUCAAUCUCCAUCAACACCUUCACCAGCACCAUCUCCUCUCAAAACCCUAGUUCAUAUCUUGUAUCCAAUCUUGUAUCAAAACCACAAAUUGGUACCUGUGGGUUGCUAGUAGUGUUGAUUACUCCUUGUAGUUGAUGCUAAUUGGUUUACUUGGUGGAAGAUCAUAUGUUCAUAUCCUUAAUGCAUAUUAAUACUCCUCUGAUUAUGAACAUGAAUAUGCUUUGUGAGUAGUUACAUUUGUUCAUGAGGACAUGGGUGAAAUCUUGCUAUUAGUAGACAUGUAAAUUUGGUAUUCGUUCGAUAUUUCGAUGAGAUGUAUGUUGUCUCUCCUCUAGUGGUGUUAUGUGAACGUCGACUACAUGACACUUCACCAUUAUUUGGGCCUAGAGGAAGGCAUUGGGAAGUAAUAAGUAGAUGAUGGGUUGCUAGAGUGACAGAAGCUUAAACCCUAGUUUAUGUGUUGCUUCGUAGGGGGCUGAUUUGGAUCCAUAUGUCUAAUGAUGUGGUUAGGUUUACCUUAAUACUUCUUUUGUAGUUGCGGAUGCUUGCAAUAGGGGUUAAUCAUAAGUGGGAUGUUUGUCCAAGUAAGGGCAGUACCCAAGCACCGGUCCACCCACAUAUCAAAUUAUCAAAGUACCGAACGUGAAUCAUAUGAGCGUGAUGAAAACUAGCUUGAUGAUAAUUCCCAUGUGUCCUCGGGAGUGCUUUUCUCAUUAUAAGAAAUUGUCCAGGCUUGUCCUUUGCUACAAAAUGGAUUGGGCCACCUUGCUGCACUUUAUUUACUUUCAUUGCUUGUUACCCGUUACAAAUUAUCUUAUCACAAAACUAUCUGUUACCUACAAUUUCAGUGCUUGCAGAGAAAACCUUACUGAAAACCGCUUGUCAUUUCCUUAUGCUCCUCGUUGGGUUCGACACUCUUACUUAUCGAAAGGACUACGAUAGAUCCCCUAUACUUGUGGGUCAUCACUGCUGAUCAGAAAAGGUCUUGUGGGUAUGCUCCACAAAUUCAGGUGCUCGUCAACUCAAAGAUGGGCACAAGCACUUACUUGUUGGACAAGGAGCACUUACCUCUCAAGCCAGAUUUUGAAGACAACACAAUUGUCAUGGAUGAGAAUGAUCCUUCAUCAGUGCAAGCACAUGAGAACAGAGCAAAGGCAAGGGCAGAUAAGGCUGCAAAGAUGCCAAGUGCUGAAGAGGCAUCUCAAGUGUUCUUGAAGAGCAAACAAGAUCAACUUGGAUUUCCAAUCCAAUCUACUUUGAGGAUUGAGAAGGGCUUGGCCAUCCUGACUCAGAAUCAGGAGAGUUUGGAGAGAAUCAUUGAACAAAAAUUCUAUGAUCUUGAUCUGAAAGUCACUAAGAUACAGACAAUAGUUGAGCAACUCAAGGAGGAAGUAGAGGAGAAGAAAGGAAAGGCAACUACAGAAGCUUUUCAGUAUGUGCCAAGAGGUCAGAGGUCAGCUGCAGUGCCAGUACCUGAUACUAGAGCAACUUCAUUUGCACCAGCAGCCAUAGCUUUAGUGCCACCUCCAGCAGCCACUCCAGCAGCUCCAUCUACAUCAAUUGAAUCCUUCGUUCUUAGAGUCAUUGCUACACCACCUCAUAGAGACCAAGCCUGAGAGACGCAUAGUACUAUGCAUAUUUGAACUUUUUGGUAACUUGUUGCCAAAAGGGGAGAAAUAUGUAUAGAUCAUAGCCUUAGAGAGAGAGUGUUACUUUUUGUCUCUCUUGCAUUUCAUUUGGUUGAACUUUAUUGUAUGCUUGUUUGCUACAUUAUGUCCUUGUGUGAGAUACUUGAAUGAUCAUGUGUUUGAUCAUAGCUACUUUAAUGUGUGUUUGGAUGAUAUUACCUCUUAUAUCCCUAUAUGAUCAUUCACUUUGCUUGGUGAUGAGUGCAUGCUUUUAAUUGUUAUCAUUUUAAGCGCUCCACCAAGAUGUAUGUGACAUGGAAGAGUAACCCAUGAUACUAAUCGAUUGUGCAUUUGCAUUCAAAAGCAAAUCUUAAAUAAUGCACAAAUUUAGGGGGAGCUCUUGCUUAUCACAUACUUCUCAAAGCGACAAUGUAUUUCAAUCUUAUUAUCAUUUGUCAAAGCUUUGAUCUAUAUGUUGUCAUCAAUUACCAAAAAGGGGGGAGAUUGAAAGUGCAACUAUCCCUGGGUGGUUUUGGUAAUGAUUAACAACAUAUAGCUCAUUGAACUAAUGUUAUUUCAAGAUGAAUAUUUCAGGAAAGUUCAAUGUUUGGCAUGGCAUGGAUUAGGAAUGUGGACCCCUAAAAAUGCUAAGGACAAAGGAUUGGCUCAAGCUCUAAAAGAUCAAGACUCUACAUUUUACUUUUAGUGAUCCAAGAUCACAUUGAGUCUAUAGGAAAGUCCAAUACUAUUAAAAGGGGAUGAGGUGUUGAUUAAUGGCUUGCUUGCUCAAAAUGCUUAGUGAUAUGCUCUAAAGAACCCUCAACCACUUUCUCAUAUCCACAUAUGUCCCAAACCAAAAGUCAAACUCGGCCCCACCGAUUUGAUCUAUCCGGCGCCACCGAGUUCACUUAACAUAGCCACUGCCAGAAACCCUAGUCACUUCGAUCUCACCGAUAGGGAUCUCGAUCUCAUCGAGAUGGGAUUGCAAACUCUCUGUUUCCCUUUGUAACGUUUCGGUCCAACCGAGAUGAGCGAUCGGUCCCACCGAGUUUGCAAUGCAAACUCCCUGUUUCCCUUUUGUAACAUUUUGGUUCCACCGAGAUGAGCGAAUCGGUCCCACUGAGUUUGUCUAACCAACUCUAUGGUUAGCUUAUUACCAAAGUCGGUCCCACUGAGUUUGUGUAAUCAGUCUCACCGAGAUUAUGUUAUGCCCUAACCCUAAUGAAAUCGGUCCCACCGAGUUGACAUGUUGGUCCCAUCGAAAUUCCUAACGGUCAAAUUAUGAACUAAAUCGGUCUAACCGAGUUUUAUGAUUCAGUCCCAUCGAGUUUGGUAAAUUGUGUGUAAUGGUUAGAUUUUGUGUGGAGGCUGUAUAUACCCCUCCACCCUCUCCUCAUUCGUGGGGAAAAGCCAUCAGAACAUGCCUACACUUCCAGCAUUCAUUUCCUGAGAGAGAACCACCUACUCAUGUGUUGAGGUCAAGAUAUUCCAAUCCUACCAUAUGAAUCUUGAUCUCUAGCCUUCGCCAAGUUGCUUUCCACUCAGAUCAUCUUUCCACCAAAUCCAAUCCUAUGAGAGAGAGUUGAGUGUUGGGGAGACUAUCAUUUGAAGCACAAGAGCAAGGAGUUCAUCAACAACACACCAUCUAUUACCUUUUGGAGAGUGGUGUCUCCUAGAUUGGUUAGGUGUCACUUGGGAGCCUCUGUCAAGAUUGUGGAGUUGAACCAAGGAGUUUGUACGGGCAAGGAGAUCGCCUACUUCGUGAAGAUCUACCCUGGUGAGGCAAGUCCUUCGUGGGCAAUGGCCAUGGUGGGAUAGACAAGGUUGCUUAUGCGUGGACCCUUCGUGGGUGGAGCCCUCCAUGCACUCACGCAGCCGUUACCCUUCGUGGGUUUAAGUCCCCAUCAACGUGGAUGUACGAUAGCACCACCUAUCGGAACCAUGCCAAAAAUCUCCGUGUCAACAUUGCGUUUGCUCCCUCCAACCUCCUCCCUUUACCUUCAUAUGCAAUGAUUUACAUUUCGCUGCUAUACUCUUAGAAUUGCAUGUGUAGGUUGAUUGCUUGACUUGUGCUAAGUUGCUAAAAUCUGCCAAGAACUAAAAUUGGGAAAAAGCUAGAUUUUUAUUUGGUCAAGUAGUCUAAUCACCCCCCCUCUAGACAUACUUUCGAUCCUACAGUCACGCAAGAUGGUGUCUUGGGUGACAAACCCAAAUUGUACGUUGAAGCUAUCUUCUGCGACUGCCAAAAAAUGUCACUAGAAUUUCCACCAUAUACGACCUGCCCGUCCCUCAUCGCAAACAUUUCAGGUUGAACACUCUAUGCAAAGGAGAGAUAUGGUUCCUUCGCCAGUAAGCCAAGGGAAAAUCUGGAGCACAUGAUUUGUACAUCUCUUCAUCGCCAAUGAUUUUUUAUGAUGACCUGUGUGCAACCACGUACAGAUAAUUUGGUAAGAUUUACAUCUGUCUUAUUGGGUAUAUUGCCAUUUGUCAAAUUGGAAAUAGUGGCAUUUGUCGAUCUAGUAACAUUGCCAUUUGUCAACUUUGUAACACUACCAUUUGUGAAAUUUUGCACCUAAAAAUCACUAGCACUGUCUAAUUUUGCAACUAAAAUUCAGUAAGCAUAUAUUUCAUUCAUAGAUUAAGCAGUCGUUCUUUAUAUAAAUAGUUCAACUUGACAGCUAAACCGAACAAACUUUUCCCCAAUUGUUGCCAACCACGUACUGAAAUAGCUAGUUCAACUAUAUAUACUAGCUAAUUUUAAGUACGUAGUACAGUUCAAGCAUAUCUAUAGUCAGAUAAACUGAACAAAAUAGCCCUAAAUACUACUACUACUAUGGAGGGGUUUUGAACUACUUCUAGCAGCCUCUCCUGUGCCAAGCGCCCUCAGUAAGAGGCAGAGGAGGAGGAGCCUACCGACGAGCUCGAGAAGUGGAAUCCGGCGCCUGCCAUUGCUGCGGCUAUAGCAACGCCCAACUCGAACGCCCUCCACUCCAGACGAUCCCUCUCGAAGCAGUGGGACUCCUCCUAGAUCCCCGCAUUCCACACCAUUGCGGCGGUUUCUGCUACGGCCAUGGCGGCAGUGAGACUCUUUGCAUGCUCAACUAAGCGCUCUCCUCCCGCAAGAAUUUGAUGUAGCACGCAAGGUAGCUGACGGACAUGUGGGCCUCCACCUCCUACCUUCGGUCCAUGAUGGUGAAGCGAGUAAUGACCCCGGUGGUCAAAGAUGGGGUGGUGGACACGAGGACCACCUCCCGCCUUCAAGUCGCGGUGGCGGAGUGAGUGUUGGCCACGGCGGCCGACGGUGGUGUGGUGGUCACGACGGCCACCUCCCGCCUUCAGGUCGCGGUGGCGGAGCGAGUGUUGGCCACGGCGGCCGGCGGUGGUGUGGCGGUCACGACGGCCACCUCCCGCCUUCGAGCCGCGAUGGCGGAGUGGGUGAUGGCCCUGGUGGCCGAUGGUGGUGUGGCGGACACGACGGCCGACGGUGGGGUGGCGGCAACAGCGGCUGGCAACAGUUGCCGUCGGGCAGCGACGGUGGAGCGUGUGGUGGGUGUUGUGCGCACACCCAACAGGGACGCCAUGCAUAGUACACGUCACCAGGGACUGCGCACCGCCACGGUGUUGCCUCCCAGCUAGAGCUCUCCUCUGAUAAUUGCAGAGUAGUUGAGCGACUAUGGUGGACCAAUGCAAUUCGUGAUUGUGGGAGAAGCAGAUGAGAUAAGCUACGGGGAGGGAGGGAAAAUGUAAUGUGGACUCGCUUGUCGUGAGGGUUUAUAUAGCAGGCCAGUAGGCAUUGGGGUUUUGAGGGAUUUCACCGAGUCGAGCGGGAAGCUUGCGCGGUUGCGUGCGGGAACCUCCGCGCUUACACAGGAAUGGGCUCACCGACGCUUCAUUGGCGCCUCUUCAAGCCAAUGUUUGGCCAAAAGAACGCAUGUGUGGUGCUGAAGCUUGCGCUCGAAGCCUUCUGUGGUAGCACAGUGACAAGACAUACGAGAGGAGGACGAAAUGACACGUACACAUACGGUUAAUAAAAAUGUUUGCAAUUUAAUUACGUAGCAGACGGCAGCUCUCUACACAGCGUCGCGAACGAUUGUUCACCCACUGUGUGAUGUGGAACGCGACAUAGUUUCACAUCUUGUCGCUGGCUCGCAACUUCCGACCGGCUUGUAGACGGCCAUUCCCUGCAUGUUCAACUGCUCUAUGCGUGUGGUUGCUCAUGGUUUAGGCGGUCGUGGCGCGCUCUGCUCGUGUGCCACCGCGCGCGCUCUGCUAGCGUCCCUACGCAUGCUCUGCAUGCAUUCCUCCACGCGCGCUACCAGCAUUUGGGGCUUGUGCACAAUCACGUACGUUCGGCGUGCCAUUAUGCAUGCGGUUGUGCCACACGCGGCGCCACGAUGCAGUUACCCACUAAAAAAACCGGCAUGCGGAUGUGCUGAGAAUCCAGGCUGCCUGGCCCCCAUUUAUUCUCAAGGCCAUGUACCUUAAUCUCUCGCACCCCAUGACACAAUAGGCACACCCACGAUGACACAUAUAGAGAGGAUAUCCAACAGCUCCAAUGGUGAUCCCAGUGGCCGACGACGAUGGGUAGCAGUUCAUUAUGCCUCACAUAGUGGACACUCAUGUGAGGGGGGAGGACCUCUCGGUGAUGUACACGACGAGCGGGUCUCAGUGAAGAGCUCUAUCCACACUAUGGAGCAAUUGCUUGCUAAGGAAAAGUACCAAGUGGUCGGCUUCGACAUCGAGUUCACUGGUGGUCAUGCCGAGUAUGAUCAGAAGGUUGUCACCGCCCAGUUGUGUGUGCGCUAUCACGUUCUCGUCUACCACUACCACCUAGCCUCAAGGCCUUGCAAGCGUUUUGUCGGGUUUAUCAAUAGCCUCGACUACAGUAUUGCUACGGUGGACACCAACAAUGAUCUAAAAGCACUCGAGAUUUCGGGCUUGGCCUGCCAGAAGUUUGUCGGUAUCAGUGGUCACUACACGGUCUGGGGAAGCACAAAGAACAAGCAGGACUCCCUAGUUGACCUCGCCUCAGCCAUCAUCACCCCCUUCUACAUGAAGAUGAAGGGUGAGAGCAAGAAGGACAAGAUCGCCUGGCACAGUGCCUGGGAGCAGAGACUGGAUGAAGAACAUGUCAAGUACAUGGCCAAGGACGCGUACACAAGCUACAAGAUGUACAUUCGAAUCAUUGACAUGAGGAAGUGCCUUCGUCCUAACCCAGGCGAGGGAUCGAGCCACGGAGCAGUGGCAGCAGCAUCACAAGAAUUUGAUGAUUAGAUGAUCAUCUCUCUUAGUUUAGAAUGCAUGUAAUUGUUUAUUAUUGGUCUCCCCACACAUUUAUGAUUACUCACAUGUUUGCCGCAUAUCACACACAUCUUAUUAAGCUGAAUCGUUUGUGUUUGUUUUGGCUCAUCACAUAGAGUUCAUCCAAGUGAACUGUAUGUCAUCUACCACACACACCUUGAUCUGGCUGAGUGUUUUUAUUGUGUUGGAUAAUAGCAAACUGUUCAUCCGAAUGAACUGUAUGUCGUAUAUCGCACACACCUUGAUCUGGAUGACCCUUGUAUGAUAAAGGAGCUUGAAAGAAGGGUAGCUUGUUUGAUUUGGAAACACAAAGGUGAAAUCUAGCUUCCUUUUUGGGGAAAACAAAAAACUGCACUAUCUUGCUGCAAUCACCAACAUGCACUACAAAAAAAUACACUUUUGUGAUGAUACGUGUUUGUCAUAGUAGGUCGCAUUUUUUGUCAUGCAUGUACAUCCAUGAAAAAUUUAUGACAGAAUCAAGAUAGUCAUACAUGUGCUGUCGUAGAAGUGUUCCAUGACAUUAGCAAAAUUAUCAUCACAGAAGUGUCCACUUCCAUGACAAUAAAUCGCGCGUCACAGAAGUGCUUUCGUCAAGGGUGACCGACACGUGGCAUCCACCAUAAUGGAACGCCGUUAAGCUAUCGGGUUGGGUUUUGGAUCUGAUAACCCGUUAACAGCCCCGACCAAUGGGGGUUUUCCAUGUGUACAAUCAUCAUUGGCUGGAGGAGACACGUGUCAGGUCCGCGCUGGCACAGGUGUCACUCAUCCAAUGGGUGAGACGCGCCUAUGAUAUGUUGACACAUGGACCGGCCCAUCAAGUUUAAAUGGGCCGGCCCAACUAAAGGCCCACAAGAUUUUGUUGACCAUAAUGGGCUGGCCCAGCUAAAGGCCCACGGGAUUUUGUAGACCAUAAUGGGCCGGCCCAGCUAAAGGCCCACAAGAUUUUGUAGGACAUAAUGGGCCGGCCCAGGUAAAGGCCCACAAGAUUUUUGUGUGCCAUUAUGCGCCGGCCCAGGUAAAGGCCCACAAGAUUCUCGCGGAUCAUAAUGGGUCGGCCCAGCUAAAGGCCCACGAGAUUUCACCGACAUUAAUGGGCCGGCCCAACUGUAGGCCCACAAGAUUUUGAGGACCCUAGUAGGCCGACCCAUUAACUGGCUGCCAUGUUUUGGGCCAAAUGCCGACCCAUAUUUGAUCCGGUCCAUUAAUGGCCUACCACGUUCCGGGCCUAAUAGUGGCCCAUAUGAGAUCCGGCCCGUUAAAAGCCUACCAUGUUCUGGGCCAAAUUACGGCCCAGAUCAGGUCCGGACCUUUAAGAGGCUUUGGGCUCAAUUAUGGCCCAUAUGAGAUUCGGCCCGUCAACUGGACACUAUGCUUUUGGGACCACUUGCUAAAGGCCCACUUAGUAAUUCGGCCUCAUAUUAGUUUUGGCCUGUUAAGGGCCCGUUUAACAUUUCGGCUCUAUAUUAAUUUCGGCUUGUUAAAAGCCUGUCAUAUAGUUGGGCCUAACUACGGCCCGAUUUGCAUCCGGCCUGCUCGCAGCUGAUAUCUGAUUGGGCCAAACAAGGACCGAGACAAUUUUGGCCUGUUAAAAGCCUGUGAUUUGAUUUGCACAAUCUUGGGUCAGGGUUCAUUUCGGGCUGCUGCCGGCCCGUUAGCUGUUCGGCACGUUUCAGGCCCAACCUACAUCGUGAUUGCAUGACGACCCGAUUAUGUACCGUAAUUUUACGGUUUGGCCAGUUUACUAUGAAGAUAGGAUAUAUAUAUAUAGUAAAAUAACUGCAACAUCGUGAAUAAGAAAAAAACCUAGACUAUACAAUAAAGAAAUUACAGCAUAUUACAUCCACUGGGCAUCAAAGUUUGCCACUAUGAUAAUAAAGCACAAGCAGAUAGCAGAUUACAUACACUAGGCAUCAAAGAUCGCCACCGGUGCAAAUAAACACGCCGACAAAAUAAUAUACAAAACUGACAUCACUUCAAUAGAGUUCAAGAAAGGUUAGCCCUGCUGGGGAGCUGCAGUGCAAGCAGCUGAGCAAGAUGAUGAGACUGCGCUUGUUCAACACUUAUAUCUUCCUCACUUUGAAGAUAAACAAGCAGACAGAUGACAGGUUUUGCACAUAAAAGUAUGAGUGCUGACAAUUCAUCCCAUUUCGUACUCACGAAUAAAGUGACAUAGUUUAAAAUUGCAUUAACACAAUAUGGUAUUGUUCAGGUCAAGACAUGGCAGGAAAUGACAUUGUGAAGGAGUUGGCAGCUUCACGACACCACUGGAUUACAGAUCAAGAACUCAUAAGUAUCAAUGGUUAGUGUGUUGUCAAUUUAUCCCAUUUCAGAUUGGCAAAUAAAGAGACGGUUUAAAUAAUAGUAGAAUGAUAUGACAUUGUUCAUAGUUAAGACAUUGCAGAAUAUGACAUUGUGCUGUAGUUGGUAGGUUCACCACGCCACUGGAUUACGGAUGAAGAACAGAAGCAUACAUGCAGUGCAAAAGAAGAUCACUUGCUCUGUAUAGUUUAAUUUACAUGGUAUGAAGAAGGAACUUGGUUGUACAACUGAAAACUUAAAUUUAGAAAGGACAAACUUUUGUUUAUGAACUACAUAAUCAACUUUAAACAUGCAAUUUGAUGCAAACACCAAAAAUAAAUAGUUGUUGCAGUCCUGCCUAACCAAAUAUAUACAACAAAGUUUGAAGGCUUGAGAUGGACAAACUUACAUUAUUGGUGAAGACAGGCUCUAUAAAGGCCUUGUCCAUGCUAAUGGGGGGGGGCAAUUCAAGAAGUUUACCACACAAUCUUCUUCAUAAGCAUUGCCUUUAUUCUACAUUUUGUUAAGAGUAAAUAUAGAUGUGAUAAUAUACGAAAAAAUGGAGCUUAAGAUAAUAUGAAGAGUGAUGCUACAUAACCAAGUAGCUAUAAAUGUAAGUGCAGCGAUACAGGCAAAAGGUACAGCCAAGAGCAAUGCACAGCUAAACUUCUUCAGUACCAACCUUAUGGUAAGAGUAAAUAUAGAUCUGAUGUGUAGAAAAUGGAGGGCAAAGGAAAAUAAGCUGCAGAGUGAUGGUACAUGAACAACUACCUGUCAUUAUAAGUACACUGAUAAAGGACAACAUGUACUUACAAGAACAAUGCAGAGCUAAAAAAACAUUGGCAUUGGAUAUAUUCUACACUAAUGUAACCAUUCAUACAGAUCAGAUAAUUUGGAGCGAACAAUUGAUAAGCAAGCUAUCAUGCAUACUGCUGUCACAUAAUGAACCAGGUAUGUAUGCAAGUACAGUGAUACAGGACAAUAGGUACUAACAAGAGCAAAGCAGCGGGCAGCAUAUUUGCGAUAUCCUGUCGUUCUUUUCAAACCGGAAUUAUUCUUUGAGCAGAUUUCCUGCAAAAAAGAUCCGUAAGGCACAUGCGGAAAAGUAGAAGUUCAAAUUGUCAUGUGAUUUCAUAGACAGUACCUCAUCCUGGGAACGAGACUAGUGCAUAACAAGGUUUUUCCAUUCAAUGUCUUCUAAAUUUAGCACAGGAGACUUCACCAGAAAUUCGUUUAUAGACUUUCCAUCAAAGUGUGAUUUCCUCAGGUAACACCGAUACUGCUGCAAUGCUUCCUUGAAAAGCACAAGCAAGCUUUGCUCGUCAUGACUAUCCAGAUUGACCCUGGCCUAGUUACAACAAUCUAAUGUAAAUCAUUGAUGUGUUCAAUCAGCAGAAAACAGGAAAAUAAUAACCAUGAAUAAUAGCACUUACACGUAAGUUGGACAGGAAGAUGUGAAAAUGGUGUUUGUCUUCACAAUAAUCUUCGCAUGAUGGGAAUAUAUGCACGUAGUCCCUAACAACAUUGAAAGCAUUGUCUUUUAAACUGGGAAUAAAUGGAAUGGGGUUCCAAUCUGCAGGAAUUGACCGUCUCUGCAGUUGGGAUAGGUCUUCGGCCGGUGGACUUGCUGUACUUUUUGCUGGAGUGGGAUUUUUCUGUGGUACAGCUGGUGCUAUGGCAAAUGAAAUCGGUAUACCUUUUGCUAGAGUGCAGGUCCUGUGUGGUGGGGCUAGUGGUGUGGCCAGUGAAGUAUGGGUACAGUCUGCUGGAGUCGGUCCUACGUUUUGUGUCACUGGUUGUACAUCCAAUAUAAGUGGGGUGGUGUCUGAUUUCUCCGGCACCACCACGUUUUCAAGGACUUUGCUGGUGCUCCUUCAGGUUCGGCAAUCACCCUCUUCCUUUUUGAUGUCUGAUGCACAAGAACAUCAUUUGAGUGGAAAAACAUGGUAUGAUGACAGAUGGAAUAUGUAUUGAUAAUGGAUGGGCAUGGUAUCUCCACAUAUAUGAUGAAUAAACUAAGCAUAUGGCGGUGCAACAAAGGAGAAGAAAUGCAAGACAACAUAUGCAAGAUAACCGCAAUCAAUAAAACACUGCCAAAUUAGAACAUGCACCUUGAUGGGUGAACAGGAUAGGCCAUCUGCCUUUGACUCCUCGAGGUUAGAAUAGUCAUUAGGAUCAUAUUCUGAACAAGAAUCAACAGGUGGGGAGCGUAUGAGUUUCAUUGCAUCCAGAAUGGCACUCAAUGCCUUGGUGCCAAUUUUGUAAGUCAUUGCAGUGUUUAGCUUCAAGAGUGGACUGCUGCUAGUGCGACACAAAGCAGCUACACAGAUCAUAGUGUAGAUAUAAUAGUGAAAACCGUAAGCAUCAGAGUAAAAUCAGCAAAGUGGAACUUGCUGGAAUAUAUGUGCUAGUAUUGCCGGUACGGCUAGAAAGGCUUCAGAUACCAGCUCUCUUCAAGUGAAGGUGUGGUACUGUUAAUAUCAGUGUAACUCUCAAAGGUGACACAACUCCCCACAUUUCCUUGCUAUUCUUAUAAGAUUCAAGUAGGCAGGCCACUACAAAUCCUAUUCCUAUCUUUACAAGAUCCUACGACUCAAAGAGGCUCAGAGUGUCCAUCACAACCGACCGUAUAGACCUCUACACUUCAAAUGUCCCUGCUCAUCUUCAGUACAAGGAACAUACUGUACUACUAUCAUACUCCCUCCAUUCCAAAAUAUAAGUCUUGGUAGAGAUUUCCACUAUGGAUCACAUACAGAUGUAUCCAGAUACAUUUUAGAGUGUAUAUUCACUCGUUUUGCUCCAUAUGUAGUCCAUGGUGGAAUCUAUACAAAGACUUGUAUUUAGGAACAGAGAGAGUACAUAUUAAAGAAGAACGGAAGAGGAACAUGGUAAAGAAGAGCAAGUAGAUUUUGGAUAAUAAAAUGUUGGUUGCGCAGUGCCCACACAUGAUGAACCAGAGCACAUUAAGAAUGCAACUCCCAGCUGUCUCUCGACCAUUUCAGGCAGUUGGAUGAAGAUCCUACGUCUCCUAACCCAUCUUCUUCCUCGUCUCUGAUUCUUCCCAUACAGAACACCGUACGGGCCGCCGACCGGACCACCGGCCCCCACCGCCAGUGUUCCUCCGCCACCCCCACCCCCACCCCCGCCCCAACCCCCCACCCGCGUCGAGUUUUCUUCGUUCAGCGAGGCCCCACAACCACCCGAGCCCCUUCGUUCGCACCAGCGAACUCCGGCAAGCUCUGAAAAAUUUAGUCUAUUGUGAUUUAACUAGUGUGGAAUAUAAAAGGGGAAAACCAUAAGCAUUGGGAGUAUAGUUUUGAGCGUGCCAUGGCGGAUCUGAAGGUGCAAACCGGACAAAGGCAACUUUGCAACCAAGACAAGAAAUCAGAGUAAAGCAGUGGCGAUCUAUUUUCUUGCUGCGAUAAAUAAGUUGAGCAGAUACGAAAGAGUACCGCCUCUGGUGUGGCGCCGUGUACACAUCUGCUGAGAAUUUGACGGUGCUGCGGUAGCGAUGGCUGACGGUGGCAUGAAAAUAGAUCUAGGAGGGUAGACGGUGGCGGCGGGGCGCGGUGGACGAGACGGUCGUAGGAGCGGCGCCGACAAGGUGGACGACGGCGGGGAUGAAGCGAUAGGACGGGAUGCAAGGAUCCCGGUCCGAAGGCGUGGAUGAGAGAGGUCGAUCUCUUGUAAUGGACGGAAGCAUCGGGGUAUCGGCUCCGGCAUGGUGGAGGAGGACGGCGGUGGAUGGGGUGGCGGACGGCGGCGAACAGAGGAGGGUGGGGUGGAGAGGGUGUUUUGGCGCCCACGGAGUACGAAUGGGGAAAAGGGAGGUAGAGAGGAAGGGGGAACCAUGUAUUCAGGGCGCGCUUGUCUCAAAUGCGAGGAAAUUUACAAACUUAGCCCCCGUUUAAAAUUUCUACUACAUCACAGCAACAUUAGUCGGUUGGGGAUAGGACGGUAAUCUCGCAUACACCGAAUAUUUGCCGACGAGAGUUUGUUUUUGGCGCCCAUCGUGUAUGAAUAUGAAUCGGGGAGGGAGUCAAUUUCGGCCGAGGACACACUGUGUUUUGGCGCCCACUGUGUAUGAAUCCGGGUGAGAGGCGGUUACGUCACGUUUGGGUGAAAUUACAAACCUACCCCUAUCGAAACCUAUAGAAAUCCAGCAGAUAGGCUUUGCGUGGUAGGGAUAGGCAGUAGUAAUUUCCAUCUCGCAGAUUUUGGUUUCAGGCGGUUACUGCGACUUUCCCCGCUUCAUUCAAAUUUUGCAGAGUGCACGUUUACCGUGCGAACUCAAUUCGAAUCUCGUUUGUAUUCUAUUUUUUUCGGGCGGGAUCCAUUUUCAAUUGGUAUUACAUUCUAUAUACAUCAUUUUUUUAUAUAUACUUUCAAAAGCACAACAAAGAAUUCUACUCCUUUAUAUGUAUAAUAUGAUUUAAAAAUACAACGAUCUCGAAAUCUUAAGGUUGAAUUCGAAAAAAUUUAACCAAAUUAUGUUCUACUAAAAUGUAUGGAUCACUAAUAUCUACAUAUUAAAUAACAUAGAUGUGCGUGAAUUCAUAUGAGUAUGCAUGUUUGAUAGAUCAAUUUUGGUUCGAGUAUGGAUUACAUGUAUCAUCAUCUCAAAUUCAAAUAUUCGAAUCCCUUUUUUGUUUACUCCUUUCACGCCCAUAUCUCUUGCAUGCAUGCUCCUUCAGGUAGCUAUCACUCUCUUUUCUCCAGCUCACCCGCACGCUCACUUCAUGUUUCUCAUAUCCUCGCAAACAUGGUAUCUCGACAUCUCCCUUGAGAAGUGUCACACUCUCCCUAUCAUUAUACAUUACACGGUUUUCAUUAUCUCUCACGUCUCUACUGUUCUCUGGUAUCACUCGGUACCUAAGCUUUCUUUUUCACCGCCACACACACAGUCUCCACUCGUCUUUCACUUUGUCUUUCUCUCUAUGGUAUUCUCUCACACACCCUAUAUGUCUCUACAUAUGACUCAUACCACUAAAAUUACUCUCUCUCUCUCUCCUGUAGACACAACAUUUGUUGCGGUCUCCUUUUCGUCUCCAUCCCAGACUGACAUUAUUCAUUUGUUUAUCGAUCAGACAACCCCGACUACCGUCUCCUCUCUCUCUCACACACAGACACACACACACAACUCCUGCUUCCACUCCCCUUCCCGACUACCAUCUCUCUCUCUCACACAAAACUCUUGCUUUCGCACCCCGACUCGUAUUUCUCUCACAAACAUUUAUCGACUAGCUAGCCUCUAGAUAGGUUUAUACACCCGCACACUCAAGCUUUCACCAUCGCAUACAUGUCUCUCUCCCGCUCCUUGUAUCUAUGUAGCUUUUUCUUCCCUUCUUGAGACACGCCCUCUCGACUGUGCACACACACACUAUCGCCUCAUUUUAAGCUGAUACCUAUCGCACACACACUCCUUGUGUCUUUGUCACACAUGCACUCCGUCCUCCUCCACUCUCCCUCUCCCUCACACACACAUGGGCUUUUUGCAACAACUAGCAAGAUGCCCAUGCAUUGCACGGAACAUCAAGGUGCAUUUGUAUGAGUAGUUUAUCUUGUGGGGGAAAAGGAUGAAUGAGGGAAGGCCUUAUUUGCAAAUGUGGAGAGGGGUGUGGGUAUCUUUUUGCAAAAUUGCCAUAGUUUCCUUCCUAUCCGUCAAAUAUAGAUCGAAUGGCCUAUAUUGCAGGAUGGCAGGCAAACGAUCAUCACCGACAAUGCUUUUUAUAAGAGUAGGGAUAAAAAUAAGAGUUGGUGAUGAUGGUGGGCCUGCCAGCUUGCAAUGUAGGUCGUCCGAUUUAUAUCUGACGGAUAGGAAGGAAAAUAUGACAAUUUACCCGCACUCUUCACCACAUUUGCAGAUAAGGCCUUCCCUCGUUCAUCCUUUUCUCCCACAAGAUCUUGAUGUUCCGUGCAACGCACGGGCAUCUUGCUAGUAAGAGUAGAAAUUAGACAUAUACCACUUCUCGAAUCUUGAAACCAACAACAUUCCUCCCUUAUCUCAUCAAAACCGCCAAAGGAAUAUAUUUUGAGUGAAACAUAACAUAUUUUUAGUGAUAUAUGUAUUUCAAAACUAGACUUUUUUUCUAUCAAAUCGGUGAAUAGACUAUUAAUCUACUUUGAUCGUGUGGCAACACAUUGGCACAUUGCUAGUAGUUAUUAUAAUUUUUUGGACACCAGACAAACGGUGGAGUACAUAUACAAAGAGAAGAGGCGCACACACGCAGUCGGCCUCUCACUGUCUCGCACACAUGAGUGUUACGUAAAGGCGACGUUAACAAAUAAACCCUAAAACCCUAGGUGCACGAUUGCUGCAUUCGCGGGUACUGGGUACGUGGUGGAGCACCUUUGUAGGAAUAGUCAGCUCGCGUGAUAAUUUGACCCAUAGGAGUUGAUGGUCGGGACCACAGGUGAACCUUGGAGCGCGGUGGCUCGCCAGUUGCCACAGAUCGAGUAGCCACGUUUAAAAUAUCAUUUUUAGCGGGGUUAAGAGUUCCGAUUUUCAAUGGCACGUUAUAAGUAGUAAGUAAGUUUUAGAACGAUUGGUAUGGAGCGAAAAUGGAAUUCAUAGUACUACGUACCUCCUUGGCAUAUGGUUGUAUGGGUUUAUGUUGCGAGAUAUUGAACCUGGUAGUUCUAGGGCAAAUACUAUGGUUUAGAUUUAGAUGCUGGUUUUCAGUAAUGAAAAUCGGAAGGGGAAACCCUUCUUUGAUUAAAAAAACUACUACCUCCAUUCUGGUUUAUUAGUCGCCAUCGUACUUUGGGUCAAAGUUUGUCCACGAAUUUUACUUGUAAAAUGUGAAUGGAAAACGAGAUUUUGUUAUACCCGAACAAAAAAGGACUGGAGGGAGUGAUUGCUUUGACAUGGAUGCGACCUCUCAUAGCGCAGGCAUUGAACCGGCGCGCCGGCCAAGAGGGCCGCACUUGCUGCAGGCCCGGCUGAGCACGCCUCCUCGCCUUGUGCAACCAGCUUAAGACUGCCCCGCCUGCCUUCAUUGAAUCCGCGCGUGUGCCGGUAACACGUCCUUCCGCGAGCCAGCAGGCAUUUUAGAACACAAAAAAUGACUAAAAUAUAAUUAAUUUAUGCAUGGUCUUGACUUGUUGUGCUCGCACUGGUAGCAUGAACUAGUAGAUGUUUUUCUUUAUUUAUAACUCUCCUCACAUUUUUUUGGCUUUGAAGUGAAUCAUGGUUGUGGACAUUAUGUAUGAAUGUGCAGAUAUCUGUGAACAUGAGUUUGAUGUGGAAGUUGAACUUGGAAUAUCGGGCUUGCACGUGAAGUAUACCAUGUCUAACGCUUCGUCUGUUAUUGUUUGGAAAGUAAUUGUUGUUAUUACAUGACCCAAAAAAAACAUUUUGUGCCACAUCAGUAGAUGCACAGACAUCACAACAGGCAUGUUGACUGGAUAAACAUUUGAACCUAGCUAUUAUGAAGUAAAUUUUCUAUUGACAACAGUUUUAGAUAGCAGGAGACGCCUAGCCUGCUCUGCCUCUGCUAGCUUAUUUCUGGCUUCUUCCAUCUCUUCUUUGGCUUGGGUGAAGAGAGCAUCUAAUUGCUCUUUUCGCUUCUUCAGGAACUCACCUACAUUCUCAAGGGCUGCUGCACGCUUUCUUUCAGCCAUUACUAAUGCCACGAGGACACGAACAGCUGAUGACUCCACUUGGCUUGUGUGUAAUCCAGCAUCAUCUGGGAAUUUGCACCUUGUGUCUAAUCCAGCAUCAUUAGGGAACUGGCACCUUGUGUGUAAUCCAGCCUCAUUUUGGAAACAUGAUCUCGAGGUUGACCAUACUUCCGUCCUCGCAGGAACUGCAUCCUGACAUGAAGUUACUUCUUUUUUAGAUCAAUACUCAGAGCAACCUAGAUCCAUUUAGUAAAGCCAGAUAAACAGAACUCGGAGAAAAGAAUUCAAAAGAAAAAGAAAUAUAAAAACAGACUACAAGGUGAGAACACCCACUUCCUACAUCAAGCUAAAAACGAAAGCAUUAGGACGAUUAAGACUCUUCUUGUUACACAUCGAAGAACACCAUGCUUAAGAGAAACAGAAACUACAACAUAUACACAUCGAAGAACACGAGGCUAAAUGAAAGUAAUUGAAAGUGUGUUACUUACCAAAGCUUGUUUUACAGGUUGAGUGCAGCUCCUCUUUAACUUGCCAUGCUCCUUGAAGAUGUCCCGAAUAUCCCAUGUUUGGUCUUCAUUGCUCCUCUGCAUGUUCGCACUCGUGGUUUUAAAAUCUCAACCUGGCAAGAAAAAUAUACUACUACUCGCACAUCUUGUGGGCAACAUUAAAGCACUCAUCUGCCAUGUUAGAGCAUCUCCAACAGAAUCGCAACGCACGGUGCUUUAAAAAAGUGUUUACAGUGCUGAGAUCGAGAAGUAGAUACUAGAGAGUAGAGGAUAGUUCUCAGCAUAGAUAGAUACAAAAAAGAUAAUUCAACUACUCCUCGCCGUCCGACUCCUCCUCGGUGAUGUCCUCCUCCGACGUCUGACUGUAGGCGUGAAGAUACCGAUCGUCGUCGGAUUCCCAGGGCGACGCUGCUCCUAGCCUCAUGUUGAAUUGAGCGUCCACUUUUCGUCUAUGCUUGUCCUCGCGAUAGGCGGCUCGCUCCGCCCUCCUCUUAUCCCUCUCCGCCCUCCUUUGCACGUAGAACUCGUGCUUGUUGAUGAUGUCCUGUGGGAAGUGUUGGCACCACAGCGCCAUGGCUUCCUCGUCCAUCUCAGCGAAGCCGAGACGGUGCUCCCGCCUCCGGUUGUCGCGACAAUCCUUGUCGGUGCUAAGCCGCGGCAGAGGCGGGAGCUCCUGCGCCCGCUCCCGCGUCGGCACGUUGGGGAAGUUCAUUGUUCUAUGAGGCCACCGGAGGCGCCACGCUGUUGCGUUGUACGCAUGGGCGGCCUCAUUGGCGGUGUUGAAAUUGCCGAGGCCAAGGCGCAUCCCGCGGAACCGGAUCUCGGCAGAGAAGCCGCCGGAGGGGCGCACGCGGACGCCGCGAUAUCCCCAAGUUUCCCGGCGACGCGGCGGCAUGGUGGCGCGGUGGCGGAGAGGCGAAAAAGAGCGGGGAGAGAGCGGUGGCGAGGCACAGAGCGAGGAGAGAGCGGUGGCAAGGCACAAAGUGGUGGGAGGGCGUCGGAUUUUAUAAAGUGCGCCGAACACUGCGCGUCAAAACUAGCGCACGCUUGGCCGUUUUUUUCCGUGCGCGCGAUCCUUUCCCGACGUCUCUGCUAUCUCUACUCUCUUCUCUACUGUUAUAUUUAUUUUAUAUUUAAUAUUUAAUAUUUAUCUCUACUUCCUUUACUAUCUACUUUUUUCUCUAUACUUUUUUUCUUGCAAUAUAGGCCGUCCGAUUUAUAUCUGACAGAUAGGAAGGAAACAAAUGGGAAUUUUGCAAAAAGAUACCCAUACCCCUCUCCAGAUUUGCAAAUAAGGCCUUCCCUCGUUCAUCCUUUUCUACCACAAGAUAAACUACUCAUACAAAUGCAUCUUGAUGCGUGCAACGCAUGGGCAUCUUGCUAGUUCUAAAAACCUUUCCAUCAUUUGCCACACUACUGGUUGCAAAUGAAAAACCUACCCAAGCACAGCGUGAUACAGGAGUGACGCACAAUUACAAGCUGAUAUUCUGUUGGACAAUGGAGGCUAUAACCAAUUACUUCUACAGGAACAAUAGCACCCGGGAAAUUUCAAGGGUAGGUAUGAACAAAUUGGAACUGCACUGUACUGCUAAGUGAUUCAAUACACACAUUACCAAUCGAGGAGGAGAACGAUGGUCGCGGCGGCCUCUGUGAGUCAUGGUCGGCAACGGGAGUCAGUUCAUUGUCCAUGACAGUGGUACUUCUGUGCUUGGCGUCGGCUUCCGGGAAGCAGAUCCGAGACCGUGGAAGAUGAUGCCGGGGAAGAGGCUCCGUGUACGAUGACGACGGUGGACCGGCUCCAGUGCAGCGUACGAGGUCGUCGAUGAGGUAGAUGCGCUGUGGUGGACGAGUGCGCUGAUGUAAAGGGGAGGAGCACGAAGGGUGCGGUGCCAUGGAGAAGUCUAUUUUGCGAUGGGGAUAGAAAAUGGGGAGUAUUCAGGUGUACUACUCUGGGUGCCGGGUUGGGGUUGGCUGGGUAGGGUGAACCUGAAGUUACGAAAACAGCCCCCUACCAAGCGUCAUCCGUAGGCUUGUUCCGAAGGCUAUGAUGGUAACUUCCCACUGCUCGAAUCAGGGUCGCGGGAGAUUUUCCCGCCGACCUCAAAAAUUUGUGACACUGGACUCCCCGUGUGGCGUGUUGAGUGAUUCGGCUAAGCAACUAGUGAGUAGUAGUAGUAAACUCUGCAUAUUAGGUUUGACCGAAGUCAAACUUCCUAAAGUUUGACCAAGUUUAUAGAAAAAUAUAAACAUUUACCAUAACAAAUAUGUAUGAUGUGAAAGUACAUUCAAUAAUGAAUCUAAUGGUAUUUAUUUGUUAUUGUAUAUGUUAUUAUUUUUUGUUAUAAGCUUUCUGAGAGUUUACAAAACUUGACUUUGACCAAUGCUAAUACGCGGACUUAAAUAAAAAUGGAGGGAGUACACAUUUGUUUUCUUAUUUUGUAGUGAACUAAUCAUUUGUUGAAAUUGUGAAAUAAAUAUAUUAGGCUAUUGACUUUGAAUGUAAUGGUCUAUACAAUUCAAUAGUUAUAAUCAUUGUCGAAUCCCAAGAUGUAUACAAGGUCUAUAGUACUUCACAACAUGCUCAAGCUCACAUAAUCCCAGUCAAAUGAGAAUCUAAAUGCAUUUCAUAGUUAUUACUUUGUAGGAUGCAACAAAAACAACCAUAACUCUACAUCAGCCAUUAUAGAAGCAACAUUUUGACAUAUCUCAAUGUGUGAAUGAAACAUGCAGAGAGAGCUUUUGAAGAUGGAGCAGAUAGGGUGGGAAAGAUUGUAUGUAUGUGGAUGAGAGAGUAGGAGACAAACCUAACGAGACAGAGAGAGAGAGAGAGAGAGGAAGAGAGAGGAAGAAGUUAGGUCUGUGAGAAAGAUGGAGACAUGUAAUAUACGUGAGAUGCGUGUGCAUCCGGAUUCUGUAUAUGUCGAAGGAGAAGAGACAACAUGUUUGAUGAGAGAGCUGGAAAAACAUGGACGAGAGGGGAAGGAUCUCGUGGGUUGAGGGAUUGACAAUUUUGUGCGGGGGAGAGAGGGAUUGGUAAUUUUGUGCAAGAGAGAGAGGGUGGGGGAGGAGUCAGUAAGCCGUCGUCACAUCACCCUGCUUCCAAAUGACCCCGCAUUCCCUAGCGCGGUGUGGUCACGUCUUCGAUCUGCUCGAUGCCCUCUUUGAAGAUUGAGGUGUUGUGCAUGUUGCGGUGCAAAGAAGCACAAGCGAGAGUGGUCGCCGUAUAACCUUGGAUGGGGAUGAAUUGUGUGCUCGGGGGAGUGUGUGUGUGUGUGUGUUGUGCUGCGUGUGUGUGUGUGUGUGUGUGAUAUUGAGAGAAAACAAACCUAAGGAGAGAAAUGGGUAUUCAUGAAGAGAUUGUGCGGGCCUUGAGGUGGGCAGGGGCCGGGUGAGGGUGUCAAAAUGUGCGCGUUGAUGCAUGUGUUGCAUGCGAUCAUGCGAGGGACGGACGAAUCGAGAGAGAUGGUUGUUGUGUUAUGGAUGCUCCUCUCUCUCUGUGUCUGUCUCUCUCUCUCUCUCUCUCACGCACACACACACACACAAGUAAACUAGAAGACCGUUCUCUCAUGUAUACACAACGUAUCGGCAUCUGUCUAUGUCUCACUCAUGCAUGAUCAUUUCCACAUUCACACCUCUCUAUGUCUGUAUCACACGCACUCCGUCUCCACAUUGCCCUUCCGCCACAACACACAUAUGGACACAUACAUACGUUUUCUCUCAGUCACACACACACACAAUAAGUAUUAAAAAACUAGGGCGCACCUAAAACGUCCAAAUCCAAAUAAACACGAACUGGAGCUAAAUUCAAAUAUAUGGAAAUAUUGCAGCGUCAAGAACUUUCCCAGGAAAAAAAAGUUGAGUAAUAUUCGAGGAUUGUUUUCACACACACAAAAAGGUUCGGUGGAUGUCCUUCGAGCGCGACACGGUGACGCACCGUUCGAUCGACCGCGCGGCUGCGGUUCACGCGCUUGCAUAGGAUUCCGUAUCGUGGCUGUGGUACUAACUUAAAAAAACUAAUAAAAGCGCUGCCUAAGUCUAAUGUUUACGUGUACUAGUAUGGUUUUCUUUUAAGUUUGACCAACCUUAUAUAAAACUAAAGUAAGCUCCCACACGCGCGCUCAUCAAUAUGCCGUCGCCGCCGUUGCGCAUGCUGGCGCCCGCCUGCUCCGGCCAACAAUUUCUCGCCCAUCACCACUGUGUCGCCGCCAUCCCUGUGCCAUGAAGCGGAAGGCUCGCCCGCUCACGUCGUCUGCAGUUCCUCCUCGCCAUGCCGCCGCGCUGCCAAGCACGCGAGCAACUGGUGGAGCCGCGUCUAUGCACGCAGCGUAUGAAGAGGAGGACGAGCGCGUGCUCCAGCACGCCGGCGAGGAGGAACUAGCAUGUCAUUGUCGUCUCCGCCCGUGCAGAGGAGGCGUGCAUGGUGGCUGUCACGGCGGAAGGCAGUUGCGCGCGCGUCGAGCCCACAAACUGGGUGUGGACGCGGAAUCUACCUUCGAUACCUUGAAUGCCACGUGGAUCCUGCAAUCUGAAGGAGCAAUUUGGGUCAGUCGACUCAUGCGAGCUGUUUGAUGCAACAUGGAUGGCUAGAAGGGCUUCUUCCACCUCUUCUGCCGUCUUCUUCCUUCGCUCCGUCAAACUUCUUUCACAAAUCGACUGACCCAAAUUAUACUACUAGUACGAACGUAUUAAGUACAGUAGGAACACGAAGAUACGAGCAGUAGUACCAACUGCAAGAAAAACAGUAGUAAGACAUAGUACUAGUACUACUGUACGUACUAAAGAGUUCAAAUAACGAUAAAGAACAUAAACAUAGUUCUGUUGGGGCCUCAGCACAACACAUCAUUGAAAAUAAACUUAGCAACUAGUCCGCUUGACACUGCAGUAGAACCAGCAUGAGCGACGGCACUGCCACCUACUCGGAGUCCGAGUCCAUGUCCUCGACUUUGUCCUCGUCCCUCUUCCGCUUCCUCUUCGCCGACGCUUCUUUGCUUGAACCAGACACUGGGCUCUGCUUCUUGAUCCAACCCUUGUAGAUAUUUAAACAAAGGUAGGCAUCCAUUGCUGCGUACAAGAUGUGAUCUUCAUCUAAUGUCUUCGACUCCCAUGCAUGAUGAAACUCGUGAUGAGGUUUCUUCAGUUUAGCGUACGAAGGAUCAAUCAUGGCUGCUGCCAGGGUCAGCAUUGAAGGUUGAGAGGAGGACACCAGGCUUGCCUUCUGGAGAUCAAAGGGUUGGCCUACAACGAGACCUAUCCGACGCAGGACAUCCCUGUCCUUCUUAAAGCCUACAGUAACGAAUUUCACUCUUUUGUCCUUGAGGAAGUUCUUAAAAUCCUGGCACUCAACGUCGGCAUGGCAUAUGUGGUAGACCAAGCAAACCUUAUGUACGCAAACCUGGAUCACGGCGAGCUUCUUCCUCUCUUCGUCCUUUAGAUCCUUCUCUCGUCCCAGGACUGUGGUGUACUCAACAUCUAGCCCAGCGACCCACUCAUCUGUUGAACUGUUGAACAUGCGUAGGAAGCGAGCAAGCCAUGCUUUCACCGUCGUGGAUCCAUGUGUGUAGAUGACGAUGAACUGAUUGCCGGUGAUGGCUCUAACCUGGUACUCAGUGGCGACCAUGGAGAUUUGGGAGGCCAUGGAUUUUGGAGGAGGGUUAGGAGAAGUUGAACUGUUGUACCCAGCAAAAACUGGGAGCGAGCUAAUGUGAAAGGAUGAGACGACUGGGAGCAAACUGUUGUGAGGUAGAAGACGGGGACGAGUAGGGCGUGCGAAUGGCGUGGGGUUGCUAGCUUGCCUGGUGGAUAAACGACUACAAGCCCCCAAAGAGUUCUCGAGAACUAUGCGGGACCCACUAGAUGUCAUGUCUACUACACCCAUAUUGUAGGCCUGACGGUAUAGCUUCUGCAUGUUCACACGUUCGCACGCCAUGCCGGCGCGUGGAUGUAACUUCACUUAAUUCCGUCAACCGUCGCGCCUCCCAUGACCUUCACCUCCCUCGCGUGGUCGCGCCCUUUGAGAAUUCGACCGGCUAUAAAUGAGCAAUUUUUUUUGCCUACUCCACAUGCAUGAUACUCCCUCUGGUCCUUUUUACUCCCGUCAACCGUUUGCAAAGUGUUUGACAAAAUUUAUACUUUUUUUAACACCACCUUAUAUUAAUUAACCAGCCACACCAGUACACUCAUUCGAUACAAUAUUCACCACACAGGGCGGUACAUUAUUUACAAGAAUACCAUCUAACCUAUUGUCAAAGCUAUACUUAGUGAUUAAGUGUGCCACCUUAUUGGCCGAACGGCUAAUCUUUGACAAUUGGAGAUUGUUGAUCAACUUCGAGAUGCUCAACGCUUUCAUCUUCAGGUCACGCAUAGCAGACCUGCCAUAGUCCCCCGAUGCAAGAGACGCUACCACAAAAGCGCAAUCAGUCUCCAAAAUUACAGGAUUAUGAAGAGAAAUACCUAUGUAGAGACCGGCAAUGCAAGCCCUAAGCUCCGCUUCCUCCACGCUUUGACAGGCAUCAAUGAAAUCCCACGACCAAAUUUAUACUAAAAAUAUCAAUAUCUACAAUACUGAUUAUAAUGAGUAUAAGAACUACGUUUUAUAAUGAGUGUAAAAAUAAUGAGUGUAAAAAUAUUGAUUUGACAUUGUGAAUGUUGAUACUACAUUUUUCUAUAAGUCUGGUGAAAGUAGAGGUACAUUGACUUUAGACAAAACUUAAAUGCACAAUGCAGACUAGUUCCUCCGUCUAGGUGCAUGCCAUGUCCUAUCUUGUCAUCACAACAAGGUUAGCUAUUAGAUUACCACUACCUCCCUUCUAGUUUAAAUUGCUCGAUUCAAAAAUUUCACCUACUCUUAGCAAGAUAGUAGAGGCGGUGGAAUAGUUUUUGAACUGCAAAAGUACUCAACUAAUGUUGUUGUUCUUCACAAAAAAUGUGUUUACCAAUGCAUGCAUGAACACUAGUUACUCUAACCCCCCCUCUUCUUUAAUUCUUUGCCACAUCGGCAUGUUUGCUAUUCCCGUGUGCAUGAUACCAGCUAAGGUACCACCAUUAUGGCCAACCUUAAUCAUCGCAUGCAAUAAUUUAGUGCACCUUGAAAUAUGAACAUGUGUGGGGCGUGUAUGUUUUUAAUGACUUGAGACUAUACCUAGCCCGACAUGCAAGAUGACUUAUUAUGCACCGUUCCCCAUCCCUGCAGGAAGCCCGUUUGUCUCCAAAUCUUUUCCUCUCCAUGUGUGGAAACAAUCCGAAAACAAUAUGCCUGCCAAACUCUCCUUCUCCCUCCGGUGGUCCCACCACUCCACCCCGUGUGAAAAAAUCUGCAUGCAUGACUCUCCUCCCCCCACGCUCGUCCAAUCCGUUGUGACCAGCAAUAUUUCCACCCCUUCACUCCCCCGUAAUUUACUCCAACAAAUAUGCCCAUGUAGCUUUUACUUAACUUUAGGUGCAUUGGGUCACUAACAUAUGGGCCCAACGGGGGAUUGGCCCACAUGUCAGUGACGCAACUGGACCUGCAGUUAAGUCAGUGCAGCUCAGUCCAUAUCUUACGUAGGUGUGCCAUUGCUUGCUAUAAAUACUGCGCCUCCCACGACAUCGCUAUCUCCUCCCCCUCAGGUUCACGUUCAUCGCUAUCUCCUCCCCCUCCCUCUCACGUCGACCACCAUGGCAUCGCCUCUCCCAAGCCCUAGGAGCCCCUUGCUGCACCCUACAGACGGUCACGCGUUGCCAUUCCGUUCCUCGCCGCCACUAGUCGAGGAGGACGCGUUGGUGUUUUGCUCCUUGCCGCUACGCGACGCGUCGCCGUUCCGUUCCUCGCCGCCACUAGUCGAGGAGGACGCGUCGGUGUUCUGCUCCUAGCCGCGACGCGACGCGUGGCCGUUCCGUUCCUCGCCGCCACUAAUCGAGGAGGACGCGUCGACGUUCCGCUCCUUGCCGUGAUGCGUCGAGGUGGACGCGUCGGUGUUCCCAAUCUCACCAGCACACGCGUCGGAGGAUGCGUCGGCUCCCCGCUACGAGGAGAACGCCGCGCCGCCCGCCGAGCCCCCCGGCCUUGAGGAGCUUUGGAAAGAAAUGGAUGUCGCCUUGUGGGAGGCUUUUGAAGGAAAUAUGCCCUAGAGGCAAUAAUAAAGUUAUUAUUUAUUUCCUUAUUUCAUGAUAAAUGUUUAUUAUUCAUGCUAGAAUUGUAUUAACCGGAAACAUGAUACAUGUGUGAAUACAUAGACAAACAUAUAAUCACUAGUAUGCCUCUACUUGACUAGCUCAUUAAUCAAAGAUGGUUUUGUUUCCUAACCAUAGACAUGUGUUGUCAUUUGAUUAAUGAGGUCACAUCAUUAGGAGAAUGAUGUGAUUGACAUGACCCAUUCCGUUAGCCUAGCACUUGAUCGUUUAGUAUGUUGCUAUUGCUUUCUUCAUGACUUAUACAUGUUCCUGUAACUAUGAGAUUAUGCAACUCCCGUUUGCCGGAGGAACACUUUGGGUGCUACCAAACGUCACAAUGUAACUGGGUGAUUAUAAAGGAGUACUACAGGUGUCUCCAAAGGUACAUGUUGGGUUGGCGUAUUUCGAGAUUAGGUUUUGUCACUCCGAUUGUCGGAGAGGUAUCUCUGGGCCCUCUCUGUAAUGCACAUCACUAUAAGCCUUGCAAGCAAUGUAGCUAAUGAGUUAGUUACGGAAUGAUGCAUUACGUAACGAGUAAAGGGACUUGCCAGUAACGAGAUUGAACUAGGUAUUGGAUACCGACGAUCGAAUCUCGGGUAAGUAACAUACCGAUGACAAAGGGAACAACGUAUGUUGUUAUGUGGUUUGACCGAUAAAGAUCUUCAUAGAAUAUGUAGGAGCCAAUAUGAGCAUCCAGGUUCCACUAUUGGUUAUUGAUCGAGAAUAGUUCUAGGUCAUGUCUACAUAGUUCUCGAACCCGUAGGGUCCGCACGCUUAAGGUUUCGAUGACAGUUAUAUUAUGAGUUUAUGAGUUUUGAUGUACCGAAGGAGUUCGGAGUCCCGGAUGAGAUCGGGGACAUGACGAGGAGUCUCGAAAUGGUCGAGACGUAAAGAUCGAUAUAUUGGACGACUAUAUUCGGAGUUCGGAAAGGUUCCGAGUGAUUCGGGUAUUUUUCGGAGUACUGGAGAGUUACGGGAAUUCGCCGGGGAGUAUAUGGGCCUUAUUGGGCCAUACGGGAAUAGAGGAGAGAGGCCGAAAGGAAGGAGGCGUGCAGCCCCCCUCUGGUCCGAAUUGGACAAGGGGUGCGGCCCCCCUUUCCUUCCUCCUCUCCCUCUCUUUCCCCCUUUCUCCUACUCCAACAAGGAAGGAGGGAGUCCUACUCCCGGUGGGAGUAGGACUCCCCUUGGCGCGCCCCUCCUAGGCCAGCCGCCCCCUCCCCCCUUGCUCCUUUAUAUACGGGGGCAGGGGGCACCUCUAGGAAGAACACACAAGUUGAUCUUCGUGAAGACGUACGACUACAUCAACAGCGUUGUCAUAACGCUUCCGCUUACAGUCUACGAGGGUACGUGGAUAUUACUCUCCCCUCUCGUUGCUAUGCCAUCACCAUGAUCUUGCGUGUGCGUAGGAAUUGUUUUUGAAAUUACUACGUUCCCCAACAGUGGCAUCAGAGCCUAGGUUUUAUGCGUUGAUGUUAUAUGCACUAGUAGAACACAAGUGAGUUGUGGGCGAUACAAGUCAUACUGCUUACCAGCAUGUCAUACUUUGGUUCAGCGGUAUUGUUGGAUGAAGCGGCCCGGACCGACAUUACGCGUACGCUUACGCGAGACUGGUUUUACCGCCGUGCUUUGCACACAGGUGACUAGCGGGUGUCUGUUUCUCCAACUUUAGUUGAACCGAGUGUGGCUACGCCCGGUCCUUGCGAAGGUUAAAACAACACCAACUUGAAAAACUAUCGUUGUGGUUUUUAAUGCGUAGGUAAGAACGGUUCUUGCUAAGCCCGUAGCAGCCACGUAAAACUUGCAACAACAAAGUAGAGGACGUCUAACUUGUUUUUGCAGGGCAUGUUGUGAUGUGAUAUGGUCAAGACGUGAUGAGAUAUAAGUUGUCUUAUGAGAUGAUCAUGUUUUGUUGAAGUUAUCGGCAACUGGCAGAAGCCCUAUGGUUGUCUCUUUGUUGCAUAAGAUGCAAGUGCCAAAUAAUUGUUUUACUUUAUCGCUAUGCGAUAGCAAUAGUUGCAAGAGCAACGACCAUGUGACGACACAUUGAUAUAGAUCAAGAUGAUGAAGAUCAUGGUGUCGUGCCAGUAACGAUAGAGAUCAUGACAGUACUUUGGAGAUGGAGAUCAAAGGCGCAAGAUGAUCAUGGCCAUAUCAUGUCACAUAUUUUGAUUGCAUAUGAUGUUUAUCUGUUAUACAUCUUAUUCUAUUUUGUUUGACGGUAGCAUUAUAAGAUUAUCUCUCACUAAAUUAUCAAGAAGUGUUCUCCCUGAGUAUGCACCGUUGCGAAAGUUCUUCGUGCUGAGACACCACGUGAUGAUCGGGUGUGAUAGGCUCUACGUUCAAAUACAAUGGGUGCAAAACAGUUGCGCACGCGGAAUACUCAGGUUAAACUUGACGAGCCUAGCAUAUACAGAUAUGGCCUCGGAACACGGAGACCGAAAGGUCGAGCGUGAAUCAUAUAGUAGAUAUGAUCAACAUAUUGAUGUUCACCGUUGAAACUACUCCAUCUCACGUGACGAUCGGACAUGGUGUAGUUGAUAUGGAUCACGUAAUCACUUAGAGGAUUAGAGGGAUGUCUAUCUAAGUGGGAGAUCUUAAGUAAUAUGAUUAAUUGAACUUAAAUUUAUCAUGAACUUAGUCCUGGUAGUAUUUUGCAAAUUAUGUUGUAGAUCAAUAGCUCGCGUUGUUGCUUUUAUAUGUUUAUUUUGAUAUGUUCCUAGAGAAAAUUGUGUUGAAAGAUGUUAGUAGCAAUGAUGCGGAUUGGAUCCGUGAUCUGAGGUUUAUCCUCAUUGCUGCACAGAAGAAUUAUGUCCUUAACGCACCGCUAGGUGACAGACCUAUUGCAAGAGCAGACGCAGACAUUAUGAACGUUUGGCUGGCUCAAUAUGAUGACUACUUGACAGUUUAGUGCACCAUGCUUAACGGCUUAGAAUCGGGACUUCAAAGACGUUUUGAACGUCAUGGACCAUACGAGAUGUUCCACGAAUUGAAGUUAAUAUUUCAAGCAAAUACCCGAAUUGAGAGAUAUGAAGUCUCCAACAAGUUCUAUAGCUAAAAGAUGGAGGAGAAUCGCUCAACUAGUGAGCAUGUGCUCAGAUUGUCUGGGUACUUCAAUCGCUUGAAUCAAGUGGGAGUUAAUCUUCCAGAUAAAAUUGUGAUUGACAGAAUUCUCUAGUCACCAUCACUAAGUUACUAGAACUUCGUGAUGAACUAUAGUAUGCAAGGGAUGACGAAAACGAUUCUCGAGCUCUUCAUGAUGUUGAAAUCGAUGAAGGUAGAAAUCAAGAAAGAGCAUCAAGUGUUGAUGAUUGACAAGACCACUAUUUUCAAGAAAAGGGCAAAGGGAUAGAAAGGGAACUUCAAGUAGAAUGACAAGCAAGUUGUCACUCCCACGAAGAAGCCCAAAGCUGAACCAAAGCGUGAAACUGAGUGCUUACACUGCAAAGGAAAUGGUCACUGGAAACGGAAAUACCCUGAAUAUUUGGUGGAUAAGAAGGAUGGCAAACUAAACAAGGGUAUAUUUGAUAUAUAGAUUAUUGAUGUGUACCUAACUAGUGUUUAUAGUAACCCCUGAGUAUUUGAUACUUGUUCGGUUGCUAAGAUUAGUAACUCGAAACAGGAGUUACAGAAUAAACAGAAACUAGUUAAGGGUGAAGUGACGAUGUGUGUUGGAAGUGAUUCCAAGAUUGAUAUGAUCAUCAUCGCACACUCCUUUCGGGAUUAGUGUUGAACCUAAAUAAAUGUUAUUUGGCAUUUGCGUUGAGCAUGAAUAUGAUUUGAUCAUGUUUAUUGCAAUAUGGUUAUUCAUUUAAAAUCAGAGAAUAAUUGUUGUUCUGUUCAAAUGAAUAAAACCUUUGAUGGUCAUACACCCAAUGAAAAUAGUUUGUUGGAUCUCGAUCAUAGUGAUACACAUAUUCAUAAUAUUGAUGCCAAAAGAUGCAAAGUUGAUAAUGAUAGUGCAACUUAUUUGUGGCACUGCCGUUUGGGUCAUAUCAGUGUAAAGCGCAUGAAGAAACUCCAUAAAGAUGGAUUUUCAGAAUAACUUGGUUAUGAAUCAUUUGAUGCUUGCGAACCGUGCCUUUUGGGCAAGAUGACUAAAACUCCGUUCUCCGGAACAAUGGAACGAGCUACUGACUUAUUGGAAACAAUACAUACCGAUGUAUGCGGUCCAAUGAGUGUUGAUGCUCGUGGCAAGUAUCGUUAUUUUCUAACCUUUACAGAUGAUUUGAGCAGAUAUGGGUAUAUCUACUUGAUGAAACAUAAGUCUGAAAUAGUUGAAAAGUCCAAAGAAUUUCAGAGUAAAGUGGAAAAAUCAUCGUAACAAGAAAAAUAAAGUUUCUAUGAUCUGAUCAUGGAGACGAAUAUUUGAGUUACGAGUUUGGUCUUUAAUUAAAACAAUGUGGAAUAGUUUCACAACUCACGCCACCUGGAACACCACAACGUUAUGGUGUGUCCGAACGUCGUAAUCGUACUUUACUAGAUAUGGUGCAAUCUAUGAUGUCUCUUAUCAGUUUACCACUAUCGUUUUGGGGUUAUGCAUUAGAGACAGCUGCAUUCACGUUUAAUAGGGCACCAUCUAUAUCCGUUGAGACGACACCGUAUGAACUAUCGUUUAGCAGUAAACCUAAGCUGUCGUUUCUUAAAGUUUGGAGUUGCGAUGCUUAUAUCAAAAAGGUUUUCAACCUUAUAAGCUCGAACCCAAAUCGGAGAAGUGUGUCUUCAUAGAAUACCCAAAGGUAACUAUUGGGUACACCUUCUAUUACAGAUCCAAAGGCAAGUUAUUUCGUUGCUAAGAUGGAUCCUUUCUAGAGAAAAAGUUUCUCUCGAAAGAAGUGAGUGGGAGGAAAGUAGAACUUGAUGAGGUAAUUGUACCUUCUUCCUUAUUGGAAAGUAGUUCAUCACAGAAAUCAGUUCCAGUGAUUCCUACACCAAUUAGUGAGGAAGUUAAUGAUGAUGAUCAUGAAACUUCAGAUCAAGUUGCUACCAAACCUCGUAGGUCUUCCAGAGUAAGAUCCGCACCAGAGUGGUACGGUAAUCAUGUUCUGGAAGUCAUGUUACUAGACCAUGAUGAACCUACGAACUAUGAGGAAGCGAUGAUGAGCCCAGAUUCCGCAAAAUGGCAUGAGGCCAUAAAUCUGAGAUAUGAUCCAUGUAGGAGAACAAAGUAUGGACUUUGAUUGACUUGCUCAAUGAUCAGCAAGCCAUGUUAAAUAAAUGGAUCUUCAAGAGGAAGACGGACACUGAUAGUAGUAUUACUAUCUACUAAGCUCGACUUGUUGCGAAAGGUUUUCGACAAGUUCAAGGUGUUGAAUACAAUGAGAUUUUCUCACUCGUAUCGAUGCUCAAGUCUGUCUGAAUCAUGUUAGCAAUUGCCACAUUUUAUGAAAUCUGGCAAAUGGAUGUCAAAACUGCAUUCCUUAAUGGUUUUAUUAAAGGAGAGUUGUAUAUGAUACAACCAGAAGUUUUUGUCGAUCCGAAAGGUGCUAACAAAAUGUGCAAGCUCCAGCGAUUCAUCAAUGGACUGGUGCAAGCAUCUCAGAGUUAGAAUAUACGCUUUGAUAAGUUGAUCAAAGCAUAUAGUUUUGUACAGACUUACGGUGAAGCAUGUAUUUACAAGAAAGUGAGUGGGAGCACUACAGCAUUUCUGAUAAGUAUAUGUGAAUGACAUAUUGUUGAUUGGAAAUAAUGUAGAAUUAUUCUGCAAAGCAUAAAGGAGUGUUUGAAAGGAUUUCUUUCAAAGAAAGACCUCAGUGAAGCUGCUUACACAUUGAGCAUCAAGAUCUAUAUAGAUAGAUCAAGACGCUUGAUAAGUUUUUUAAUGAGUACAUACCUUGAUAAUUUUUUUGAAGUAGUUCAAAAUGGAACAGUCAAAGAAAGAGUUCUUGCAUGUGUUGCAAGGUAUGAAAUUGAGUAAGACUCAAAUCCCGACCACAGCAGAAAAUAGAAAGAGAAUGAAAGUCAUUCCCUAUGCAUCAGUCAUAGGUUCUAUAAAAGUAUGCCAUGCUAUGGACUAGAACUAUUGUAUACUCUGCCCUGGUUUGGCAAGGGAGUACAAUUGUGAUCUAAGAGUAGAUCACUGGACAUUGGUCAAAAUUAUCCUUAGUGGAAUAAGGAGAUGUUUCUCGAUUAUGGAGGUAAUAAAAGAGUUCGUCGUAAAAGUUACAUCGAUGCAAACUUUUACAUUGAUCCAGAUGACUCUAAGUCUCAAUCUGGAUACAUAUUGAGAGUGGAAGCAAUUAGCUAGAGUAGCUCCGUGCAAAGCAUUGUAGACAUAAAAUAUUUGCAAAAUACAUACGACUCUGUAAUAUGACAGACCCGUUGACUAAACCUCUCUCACGAGCAAAACAUGAUCAUACAUUAGUACUCUUUGGGUGUUAAUCACAUAGCAAUGUGAACUAGAUUAUUGACUCUAGUAAACCUUUUGGGUGUUGAUCACAUGAUGAUGUGAACUAUGGGUAUUAAUCACAUGCAGAUGUGAAUAUUGGUGUUAAAUCACAUAGCGAUGUGAACUAGAUUAUUGACUCUAGUGCAAGUGGGAGACUGAAGGAAAUAUGCCCUGGAGGCAAUAAUAAAGUUAUUAUUUAUUUCCUUAUUUCAUGAUAAAUGUUUAUUAUUCAUGCUAGAAUUGUAUUAACCGGAACAUGAUACAUGUGUGAAUACAUAGACAAACAUAUAGUCACUAGUAUGCCUCUACUUGACUAGCUCAUUAAUCAAAGAUGGUUUUGUUUCCUAACCAUAGACAUGUGUUGUCAUUUGAUUAAUGAGGUCACAUCAUUAGGAGAAUGAUGUGAUUGAUAUGACCCAUUCCGUUAGCCUAGCACUUGAUCGUUUAGUAUGUUGCUAUUGCUUUCUUCAUGACUUAUACAUGUUCCUGUAACUAUGAGAUUAUGCAACUCCAGUUUGCCGGAGGAACACUUUGGGUGCUACCAAACGUCACAACGUAACUGGGUGAUUAUAAAGGAGUACUACAGGUGUCUCCAAAGGUACAUGUUGGGUUGGCGUAUUUCGAGAUUAGGUUUUGUCACUCUGAUUGUCGGAGAGGUAUCUCUGGGCCCUCUCUGUAAUGCACAUCACUAUAAGCCUUGCAAGCAAUGUAGCUAAUGAGUUAGUUACGGAAUGAUGCAUUAUGUAACGAGUAAAGGGACUUGCCAGUAACGAGAUUGAACUAGGUAUUGGAUACCGACGAUCGAAUCUCGGGCAAGUAACAUACCGAUGACAAAGGGAACAACGUAUGUUGUUAUCUGGUUUGACCGAUAAAGAUAUUCGUAGAAUAUGUAGGAGCCAAUAUGAGCAUCCAGGUUCCACUAUUGGUUAUUGACCGAGAAUAGUUCUAGGUCAUGUCUACAUAGUUCUCGAACCCGUAGGGUCCGCACGCUUAAGGUUUCGAUGACAGUUAUAUUAUGAGUUUAUGAGUUUUGAUGUACCGAAGGAGUUCGGAGUCCCGGAUGAGAUCGGGGACAUGACGAGGAGUCUCGAAAUGGUCGAGACGUAAAGAUCGAUAUAUUGGACGACUAUAUUCGGAGUUCGGAAAGGUUCCGAGUGAUUCGGGUAUUUUUCGGAGUACUGGAGAGUUACGGGAAUUCGCCGGGGAGUAUAUGGGCCUUAUUGGGCCAUACGGGAAUAGAGGAGAGAGGCCGAAAGGAAGGAGGCGCGCGGCCCCCCUCUGGUCCGAAUUGGACAAGGGGUGCGGCCCCCCUUUCCUUCCUCCUCUCCCCCUCUUUCCCCCUUUCUCCUACUCCAACAAGGAAGGAGGGAGUCCUACUCCCGGUGGGAGUAGGACUCCCCUUGGCGCGCCCCUCCUAGGCCGGCCGCCCCCUCCCCCCUUGCUCCUUUAUAUACGGGGGCAGGGGGCACCUCUAGGAAGAACACACAAGUUGAUCUUCGUGAUCGUUCCUUAGCCGUGUGCGGUGCCCCCCUCCACCAUAUUCCACCUCGGUCAUAUCGUCGCGGAGUUUAGGCGAAGCCCUGCGCUGGUAGAACAUCAUCAUCGUCACCACGCCGUCGUGCUGACGGAACUCAUCCCCGACACUUUGCUGGAUCGGAGUCCGGGGAUCGUCAUCAAGCUGAACGUGUGCUGAACUCGGAGGUGCCGUACGUUCGGUGCUUGGAUCGGUCGGAUCGUGAAGACGUACGACUACAUCAACCGCGUUGUCAUAACGCUUCCGCUUAUGGUCUACGAGGGUACGUGGAUAUUACUCUCCCCUCUCGUUGCUAUGCCAUCACCAUGAUCUUGCGUGUGCGUAGGAAUUGUUUUUGAAAUUACUACGUUCCCCAACAGUGGCAUCAGAACCUAGGUUUUAUGCGUUGAUGUUAUAUGCACGAGUAGAACACAAGUGAGUUGUGGGCGAUACAAGUCAUACUGCUUACCAGCAUGUCAUACUUUGGUUCAGCGGUAUUGUUGGAUGAAGCGGCCCGGACCGACAUUACGCGCACGCUUACGCGAGACUGGUUUUACCGCCGUGCUUUUACGACUACAUCAACCGCGUUGUCAUAACGCUUCCGCUUACGGUCUACGAGGGUACGUGGAUAUUACUCUCCCCUCUGGUUGCUAUGCCAUCACCAUGAUCUUGCGUGUGCGUUGGAUUUUUUUUUGAAAUUACUACGUUCCCCAACAGCUUUGCCUCCAGCAAAACGCGCCAAAAUAGAGGCGGAGAAGAAGGCCGAGGAAGAGAAGCGCACCACGGAACAAGCUGCCUGGGAGGCCUAUGUCACGUCCGAGAGAAGCAGGCAAUUGGCUCUUUGGCAGAAGGCUCGUGCGAGGGCCGUGAGGGUGGCGGAGGACGCCCGUGCCGACGCCCUGAGUGCAGUCGGGCCUAAGCGCCUCAUCUACGCUUGGCAGUACGUGGACCAGGUGCACGCUUCCAGCAAGGAGGAGUACCUGUUAGCGCCGGAUCACCACACCGGUGAGAUCGCGCUCGCCCGCCGGCAAGCCGCCAAUCAGCACCUCGCGAGUUGCGAGGCUGAGGAAGAGACGUUGUGUCAGUGCCCUGGGAAACGAUCGCGCACCAGGGCACUCGUGGCGCGCCGCAAGCGCUCCUGCGAGCGCCAUGGCUUUUAGGAGGAGUAUAAUUUUUGUUUCGUAAGGCGAUCUCAUUAGUUUUGGGAUGCAAAUGAUAAAUCCCGAACGUUCAGGAAUUUUUAGCGUCCUUAACUAAGUAUGUAAAAGGGAAAGUUUGGAAACCUUGUGUAUUCGUACGCAUUUUGCAAGUACGUGCAUAUAGCACAAACUUUACUAUAUACUAUCGGACUAAAUGCUUGCAGACUAUGCUACUCCCUCCGUCCAGGUCAAUAAGUCAUCUUUGGUUGUGCACCGUGACCAAGAAGGAGGGAAGACUUGUACACCUAGACGGAUGGAGUACUACUAUUACUUAUAUACGUGCAAAUGCACAUUUUAAUAUUACGAUGCGGAUUUUGUAAAACUAGAAAAACAACACUAGUCAAGCUUGUGAAAUGAUCAAUGCAAAACAAAAGCAAAAAUGCUCGUUUGAUUGUUUACUUUUAGCUUCCUUCUCUGUGGUUAUUUCUCUGUCAUACUUUGUACGGAGUAUCUCACUGGUUGGAAAGGCAUGCAAAUUCCCAAACCGCUUCCUACACUCUGUAUCGAAUUUUUUGCCUAACAAGUUGUGCCGUGCAAUUGGAAUUCCAACUUGAGUACUACUACUAGUAGGAGUACCAGGGGCCAGUUCUUUUAGGCUUCUAGAGUAGUAAUCCCAUAACUACUACCUCCGUCCUGGUUUCUUGGUCCCCAUUGUAAUCUGUGUCAAAUUUUGAUCAUAAAUUUAACUAAUGAAAUGUUAGUGCAUGUCACAUGCACUACUCCAUCCGUUUAGGUAGUAAGUCAUCUUAGGCUAUGCACCAUGACCAAGGAGGAGGACAAAACGAGAAAUGUUAAUGUUUAUUUGCUAAUUAAUAGUAUUGCAUGCAAUGAACUAACCACUGCAUGUCGUGUUUGAUAUAUCAAGUCAUUAAAAGCAUGCACACUCUUUAUCUCUUAUUGGUUGAUAUGUCAAGAAACAAGAAACGAGGUAGAAGUUAAUGCACCGCGCCUAAGUGUUUUGGGAUUAUUUGGUUUUCGUAAGAUGACUUACACACCUAGACGGAGGGAGUAACAUUUUAUUAGUUAAAUCUUUGGUCAAAAUUUAGCACAAAUUACAAUGGUGAGGAAUAAACCAGGACGGAGUAGUAGCUUAGAAGCCCAAAUAAAUGAGUGAGGCACCUUAUUGUUACUCUCCACUAUGACUAGUCUUGUGGGAAAAGCUGGGGAAGCCGCCAAAAGAACUGGCCCUAGGAGUAGUAGCUAGGGAUCGAGUGUGCGAGAUGAACCGGAGAAAGUAAAUGCAGAGAGAUGAAAUGCAAAAAAGACGGAGGGAUGUGAUGGUUGCUUGUCCGUUUAUUUUACCAGACCACUUAUUACUGGGAGUGGUUGGGUUUUGUGAUAUGACGGCUUUACUGCCGCACCACGAGCGGGGUGAGAGGUGAGGCUCCCGUGCAGUGCCGCCCUCUACACUUGUACUACAUCGGUCGUGGUUUAUUAGUCCCCCAUUGAAUUUGACUGAAGAUUUAACUGACAAAAUGUUAGUGCAUGUCAACAAAAACUAUAUCGUUGGAUACGUAUUUGAACAUAGUUUUGAAUGAUAUAAUUUUAGGUGACAUGCAUAAGCAUUUAUCGUACUAUAUAUAAUGUUAGUUCAAUUUUUGGUCGUACGUAGUAAGGUGCCCGUGCGUUGCACCGAAGAGUGAAAUGCAUUGAUCGGGGAGUUGUUUAUUUUGACAAAGGAUCUGGGGGUCAUCUCAUGUGUAACGGGUAUCGAUAGGUUUCUUCGGAUAUUAUUUCAUCUCUAGAGCUCACAAACAUCCGGGUGAAAUAGAUAAAAAGGUAUCUUUUGCAAACAAAAGCGUUCAACUGUUCAACCUGCAUCCAAAACUUGUGAAGAAAUAACACUUAUUGUGCUUUGCAAGAAAUGAUCUUUAAGAAUUAGUUUUUGAGUAUCGAUUGUUAUACAUGUUGGCUACAGAUGACAUGGCACUUUCUUAUAGUCAACAGUUGGCUAUACUAUUAAGUAAUAUUAACCAUGCCCUUAUACACCUAGACGGAGGGAUUAAAUCAGGAUGACUUGCAAGGGGGCAGAGGAGAUGUAAGAAAUGGUUCAUCGUAAGUCUUUCACUAGUACUGUAGUAAAAAUUCAUACAUGGAAGAUUCUAGACUAAACCAUAAACGGAAACACUUUUAUUCAUGCACGAUACUCCAAUAGAGCAAGAUCCUUCAUGGAAGUCUGCACAUGCUUAGACAGCGGAUUACAUUGAGCAUAGACUAAUGAUCAACAUUUAACUUGAUAAUGCGUAUGUCCAGGUGAACCUCCUUGGAGUCCAUGUGCACCGCGUCGGCAGGUAAAGGAUGCCAUGGGUUUUCCAAGUCCACAUUGGCGAGAUAGUCCCAUCUCCCUAGAGUCCAAGUCCAUUCGAUGAGGCCGGUGUCGCCGCCCACGUGACCCGGAGGGGUAGUAACACUGACCACACACCCGUACAUCGGCCUCGUGUCAGUGUCAGCAUCAGCGGCGUCGCCCCUGACGCACAUUACAGAGACGGGGCGACGGCCUGCGCGGGCCUCACCGGUGCCCACGAUCAAGAGGAAGACACUGUCGUCCUCCUCCGAGACUAGCAGGCGGCGGUGAUCCUCCAGCGACUCCGGCACGGUGAACGGGUAGCACGUCUCGUACUUGGUGUUCUCCGCCAAGGGCCAGCAGUUACCGCUGCACGCAUCCAUGAGGUGAUGCACCAUGUCCGCCGGCGAGCCACAAAACGGCAUCGGGCACUCAUAGCAGUGGACGAAGGGCUCCUUGGAGGCAUCGACCAGGCCAUCCAUGAAACGGGAGUGGCUGUAGGGGACAUUGCGCCAGUUGAAUAUAUGAGCAAGUUACUACGAGAUUUAAUCUGAAUAAGCACAAAAUAAAUCAUGACGGCUAUAACAGAGAUGAAACUAAUCAUGUGGACUAGCAUAGUAGUAGGAUACAAAGUCGAAACAUGAAUUCUACCACGAUUUCGAACAGGAAGGACAGAAACACAUACGAUGCAACGGGAGCAGCACCGUUGGCGUUGAGGUUGUCGCCCAUGUCAUGGAGGAAGAGGUUGCCGAGGUCGGGGAAGAAGUCGUCGUCGGUGAAGUCGUGGCUGCCAGCAGUCGCGAGAGUGUGCUCCCCAAAUUUCAACAGCGCCCGCCGAAUGUAGCGCAGGAGGGAGUGGCUAUAGGGGACGUUGCGGCCGCUGAAUGGAGCGUAGGAGUAGUACACGAAGCAGUAGAUGGUGUCCUUACUAGUACUCCCUAGUCUCUACCUAUCUCUAUCUACUCUUAUAGAAAACCGAGUUGGUGAUGAUGGUAUGCCUGCCAUCUUGUAAUAUAGACCGUCCAAUCUAUAUCUGACAGAUAGAAAGCCAACUAUGACAAUUUUACAAAAGAUACCCGCACCUGUCUCCACAUUUACAGAUAAGGCCUUGCCUCGUUCAUCCUUAUCUCCCACAACCUCGUGCUCCUCCCUAUGUCUCUAUCUCUACUACUCUUCUUUGUUUUUAUAACAAAUCGAAUAGUGCUGCGCCGUCCACUGCACGCCCAGCUGAACACGCCUCCUCGCCUCCAUCAUCACCAUCUGAGUCUUUUAUAGGAGUAGGAGUAGAGAAAAAACCGAGUUGGUGAUGAUGGUGUGCCGUGCAAUGCACGGGCAUCUUGCUAUUUUUUUGCAUAUAAGUCCAAACACCACGUAGACACGGUCUUUGAGCACGGUUCGUAGUCAUUCCACGCUCGGGCAUUGAAGUUUGUAACUAUUUUAGAUUAGAAUAUACUACUCCUCCGGUGCUAGUAGUAGAGCAGAGUCCUACUCUACUACUCUACUCAAGGAAGUUAGGGCAUAGUACUGUAGUAGGUACUGUAGGGAGUACCAGUACUGUGAUCACUCAAGCAAGUUGUCUGGCACCGACAUGACCCUAUGUUGCUGGUAUGUGUCUCGUAAGUCAAGUGGCGUGCUGUAGUCAUCAUCACCUGUCCACUUCCCGCAGCACAUAUUCGCUUCUCCAUCUUUGUCCGCACAUAAUCUCGUCCAAUCUUCCAUCCCCGCUAAGGCGCCCCCCCCCCCCUCGUCCGAAACCCAAGCACUAACNNNNNNNNNNNNNNNNNNNNNNNNNNNNNNNNNNNNNNNNNNNNNNNNNNNNNNNNNNNNNNNNNNNNNNNNNNNNNNNNNNNNNNNNNNNNNNNNNNNNNNNNNNNNNNNNNNNNNNNNNNNNNNNNNNNNNNNNNNNNNNNNNNNNNNNNNNNNNNNNNNNNNNNNNNNNNNNNNNNNNNNNNNNNNNNNNNNNNNNNNNNNNNNNNNNNNNNNNNNNNNNNNNNNNNNNNNNNNNNNNNNNNNNNNNNNNNNNNNNNNNNNNNNNNNNNNNNNNNNNNACUAACAAUGGCAGAACCGAGCAGCGUCCGCCGAAAGAGUGGCUGGAAUUUGCUCCACAUAGAGGUAAUCAAGCUCAUUGUUUCGCGUGUGGACAAUCUCAGUAUCAUGCCGCUCGCCGCAUGCUCGUUGGGGCUAUACCGUUUACUCAAAGCCCUCAGGCCGGAGCUUUUUAAGCCAGCUCCUUGCUUGCUGAUGCCGCCUGAUCUUCAGAAACGGCAUGUCACGCAGCAUAACAAUCAUAGGGUGGCGAGCAUCAACCCCCUUGACUGCGAUCCGAUUCCCGUCAGCCUCAACUACAUUAACGGUAUGUACUGGGUCGACAUGAACACGUCUUGGAUGGUGCUCGUCGAUGGUCGCGGCAGCUGGAUGCUCGUGGAGGUCUACACCCGGCGAUUGAUCUCCCUUCCUUCGAUUAACACUGCACUGCUUUGGCACCGCGCCCAGAAUACUCGGAAUCUUACAGUAGCCAACAUGAUACCAAGUUUGAUUUGCUCAAGGUUGUAAUCUGCAAAGUGCCCACAAGAUCUGCGAAUUAUAAAGACUUCAGGCUAAUUGCAUUCUUCAACCGCGGUCUCGCCUAUCUGAUAGGUCACUGCGGUAAGUGGAUAAAUCUGCACGUCCAUCGCAGGAUCAUACAUCCUCCAUGGUUCUCUGAUGCCAUUGAACACAAGGGCUUCAUUUACGCUGUAGACUCCUUCUAUGGCUAGACGUAUUGCUGGCCUACUCCAGUCAUCGCUACAAACGGCUAUUACAGCAGUAUGUUACUUUCCUGUGAUAUCAUGAUGGCUUGCUUAUAUUAUUGUCAACAUUCACUGAAAAAAUAUUCAUGCUCAUAACAUGCUGUUCUUAAGAUUGACUAAAUCAAGAGCCCUUUUUUAUUUGACUCCAACUUGAUAUGAUGUUGUAGGGCGCCUGGUGUCCCUAGCCUUCCUAAUCCCAGAACCUUUCAAAGAAAAGCGGCAUGGCAGUUGGAGCUGGUUCCUGAAUUGAUCAGACGACGGCGAAAGAUUGAUGAUCGUUCGCACGUACCGGACGUGUUGUUUCAUGGAAUACAAUCACAGUCACUGCAAGGUCUUUAAGCAGGAUCCCAGCUUCUCUGGGCCUUUAGGAAUUUUUGGAGGCUGGUAAGUAGCCUUGGUACAUGCUCUCUGUUUGUCGGACUGAAUUAUCCGAUUAACCAGGAGAUAACCGACGGAAGGAUCAUGAUGGCAGCAUGGUUUCGUUCAUCAGGCAAAACUGUGUGUACACAGCGUACCAUGCGUCUCUGCAUGCACCAUACCAUGAUAUGUGUCGCCACGCUCUACAGCCGAAAAUAGGAGAGAGGGUCGCAAGUAUCAGACUUCGACCUGCUGGCUGGAGUUUCCCCCGUCAGGCACCCAUCUGGUUCAAGCCAUCAGCCAAUCUCCAUAGCUUAAUAAAUAGUAACGUCUAACUGAGCCAGUUAGUUAGAUGCGUACACUUGUGUAGUAGGAUCUUUAUUUAGUUUGAUGCAUACACUUGUUCUUUUUUGGUAGCCCUUUUGUAAUGAUGGCUGAUGUUUGGUUUGGAAGAGAGAGCUGCGUCUUCACUCUUCUGGCCUGCUUACUGCUUCUGUUGCACCCCCAGCCCUGGUUGUUGUAGCUGCUGUUUUCAAUGUACAAUCAGUAGUAUAUUUUGUCUGUUGGUUGAAUAAAUGUGUUGUUAGAACGACAAACACAAUGUUUUGGAAGUCGUUGCACGGUUCGAUCCUUUAGUGCCCCGUACCGUACGUAGCUCAUACUAUUUUUCGUACAGAACACAUUUUCCACUUGUUGAUAACAUGCGGCCCACUGAUGAAGGCCCAAUAGAGAAGCCCAUGAUUAACUGGAAGGGAGGCUAUCACAUGAAUCCGGCCCAUGUACAUGCUCAUGGUCCCCUAAACAUAAAUAAGUAAAUAAAUAAAUAAAGCUAAAUGCUCAUGCACCAGUUCUUUGGGAAAAUAGGUAGCCCAGUAUUUCUUUUUAAAGAAUACCGAAGCUAGGCCUAUUUGUUUUCUCCGAAUUACUGGGCUGCAAAUCUUUCAAGACGAGGAGGGAUGCAUUCCGUCCUGGCCAAAGAGUAUGGUCAAUGUCUCUUAAAAGUAAUAUCAAAAGGGGUUGAAAAUUCCAAAAAAUUUAUAGCAAAUGGGAUAUUAGUUUCUUUUUUGUUUUUGUUCUUCACUGAUAUCUUAUAUGUAUUUCAUUGGAUUUAACAUGACAUAGUACUAAUUUAUUUUUAAAUUUGUUUUAGUAUGGCUAUUAAUUUUUGGAUUAAGAAUAUUUCGUUUCUUAGCAAAAAUUUUCAAAAUUUCCCACAUAUUUAGUUAAUUUUUUGACCCUAGUACUGACCAGAAAAUGGCCAGCAAUUCUAAAAAUGGAAAACGGGCUGCAAUAAAUUCCAUAUGAACUAGAAAAUGAGUAAAAAUUAUAAAAAUAAUAGCAAAUGGGCUGUACACGCCACAGAUUUCGAGCCUGACUUGUUUACGCAAGGCUUUAUCAGUGAACACACGAUUCUAGCAGCAGUGACUGUUGGAUGUCCAUCCAACGGCCGACGUGCUUCUUCAAUCUCUGAUCUUCCUGCUCCAGCCGCCUAAACUAGCGCCGGCGGGACUGCCUACUACCUCCUCUUGUGGCCCGCUGUGAUGCCGCGCAGGCUUCCCCGACCCACCCUACUCCCUCCGCUGGCCUAGCCGCACGCAAUCAACUGCCUCCUUAUUAUGCAAAAAAAAUGAUUCCUCCCACUGACAUCUGGGGCGCACCGGUUGGGAGGCUGACCUGUGGGCCUACUAAGUUGACGCGUACGCAGGGCUUGUCAACUUAGAGCAUGGUUAAUAGUAUAGCCAGCUGCUGGCUAUAAGCCUGUGCCAUGUCAUCUACAACCCAUCUUAUAGCCAACAUGUACAAUAGUAGAUUAAAAGAGUGUACUACUUUUUUAUUAUGUGGCCCACAUUUCAUUCUCACAAAGUGCCUAGGGGCACAUGCUAGAGCUGGCUCUUCACGAAGAGCCCGCUUAUCUUCUCUCUCUUCUUCUCUUUCCUCCAACUAAGCAGAAAUAUACUAGUUUAUUCCUUAUAGCCCGCUCACUCAGCUCUAUUGUACUUGCUCUUAGUCAACAAACGAUUCUAGCAGCAGUAGCCGUUGGAUUUGAAUCGAAUGGUCCUGUUGCUUCUUCAAUCACUUCUCUUCUUGCACCAGCCGCCCAAACCAGCGCCGGGGAGACCGCCUGCUCCUGCCUCUAGUGGCCGGCUGUGCUGCCGUUGAGGCCUCAUCGCCCCCUACUACUCCCACCGCUAGCUAGGCCCUGCGGCGACGGUAGCCUCACACCAUAGCCGAAUCAGUGAACCCUUGCACUCCUCUCUGCGUGGGCAUCCACUGACGUGUCUUCCCCGGCUCCGCGUCGUCCCCUUCCUAGGCCUCGCCGUCGUCCACCGCCUUGGUGCUCUCGGCGCGGUGUGGUCAAUGUGGUCAAUGACAUUUCAUCGGAAGAGUACUGUACGUGGAGAGGCUGACAGCUAGGUCUACGGCCACAACCCAGUUAUUUUGUGAUUUACCAAGUAAGUCGCUUUGUCAGGCCUGGUGGGGCUGCAAAUCUUUCAAGACGAGGAGAGCUUUCAUUCGGCUGGCCGAGAAAAUGGCCCAUCAAUAAUGAGAAAUGGGUUGUACAUUUUUAAAACACAUCAAACCGGCAAUUAGUUACAAAUAUCUUUUUUUCAUUUCAAGAUUUUAAAUUACAUUAAUUUUUAUGCGUGGAGAAUUUUUUGGAUUUUAUAUUGAUAUACAUUUAUUUUUAAAAUCAGUUUGAAUGCGAGUCGAAAUUUCGGGAUUAAAAACAGUUCGGACCGCACCGAAAUAUGCAAAACUUCGUAUAAUUUUUUAACCGUGGCCACAAUAUGGGCUGUAAUGCUAACAAAAAAAAUAUGGGCUCCAAAAAAACCUUAAGAAUUAGCAAAUGGACUGUAAAUUAUCAGAAAUAAUGGCAGAUGGGUUGUAUGUUGUUUUCCACAGAUUUGAGGCUUUCUUAAAAAACGGUUGAAGCACAAGUAAUGACUGUUGGAUGUCCAUCGAACGGCCGUCGUGCUUCUUCAAUAUCUGCUCUUCCUGCUCCAGCCGCUCAAACAAGUGCCGGCGGGACUGCCCGCUCCCUCCUCCCCACGGCCGGCUGUGCUGCUGCGCAGGCCUCACCGCCCCAGCGUACUCCCAUCGCUGGCCUAGCCAUCCCUCUACUCACCCGCAUCUGCUGUUAUUCUCCAGCGACGGCAGACGAACCAGUAAACCCUUGUACAGUCGUACUCCCCUCCGCGUGGGAAACAAUUACCGAGUCUUCCCUGCCUCCGUGUCAUUCCCUUCCUAGGCCUCACCGUCGUCCACCGCCCUGGUGCUCUCGGCGCGGCCUAGUCAACGUGGUCAACGACCGACAUGCAUCUGAAGUGGACUGUACGUGGAGAGGCCGACAGCUGGGUCCACGGCCGCACGCAAGGAAAUACCUCCUUAUUACGCGCAAAAUAAUAAUUGCUCCACCUGACAUCAGGGACCCACCGAAAGGGCCUCUGUAUUUCGCGAAAAAACGUUACCGUCGCUGACAACUCGGACCCACCAGCUAUAUCUUCGCACGCAAGGAAGUGCCUCCUUAUUACGCACAAAAAAAUGAAUACUCCCCCUGUUAGCUAGGACCCAGUAUAGUGGCAGGAUGACUUGUGGGCCUACUAAGUUGACGGGGACGGAGGGCUUUGUCAACUUAGUCAAUAUGCACGAUUCUAGCUCCAGUGACCGUACGAUGUCCAUCCAACGGCCGUAGUGCUUCUUCAACCUCUGGUCUUCUUGCUCCAGCCGCCCAAACCAACGUCGGUCGUGCCUCGUGCUCCUGCCUCCCGUGGCCGGCUGCACUAGGGCGGAGGCCUCACCGCCGCCUACUACUCCCACCGCUGGCCAGGCCAUCCCUCUACUCACCCACACCUCCUGUUAUUCUGCGGCGACGACAACCUCACACCGCAGCGAACUAGUGAACCCUCGUACUCUUCUACGCGUGGGCAUCCAUUGCCGCGUCUUCCCCGGCUUCGCGUCGUCCCCUUCCUAGGCCUCACCAUCGUCCACCGCCCUGGUGCUCUUGGCGCGGCAUGGUCAACAUGGUCAAGGAACGGCUUCCAUCAGACGUGGACUUUACGUGGAGAGGCCGACAGUUGGGUCCACGGCCGCAGCAAGGAAGUGCCUCCUUAUUACGCACAAAAUAAUUAUUCCUCCACCUGACAGCAGGGACCCACCGGACGGGCCACCGUAUUUCGCGAAAAAACAUUUCCCCCUGACAGCUGGGACCCACCAGCUACAUCUUCGCAUGCAAGGAAGUGUGUCCGAAAAAAAAACGAUUCGCCCCCCUGACUACUGGGACCUACCAGCUACACCUUAGCACGCAAGGAAGUGCCUGACAGUCGGGACCCACUUGGUCGAAGCGUACGUAGCGUUGUCAUUCUGGUCGCGAAUGUGUACAUACAUAUAUACUGGUCGAUGUAGAGGCACGCACGUGUCAUAGUAGAGGCGCGCACGUAGCAUGUAUACGUACGUACAACGGCCAGGGUGCAAGAAAGAAAAUACGGCCACGUAUGUGUACAUACGGGCGGGGUCUCAAUCGCCUACUCGCGCAUACAUACGGCCAGGGCUCGUGUACAUGGCUGGGUCGGAAUGGAGAAACAUCAUCGUCGUCAUGUUCAUCGGGAGCCAACCGGCUGGGUCGGAACGGAAUGCGCCGUCGUGUUCCUCGGGAGGGCUUGGACGGAACAGGCAAUGGAAACGAGGCCUGGCGUACCGCAGAACGGAGGAAACGGCCUUGUGUUCGACCGAACACGUUCGAAACGGGAUCCUGUUCAUCGGGAGGGGUAUGGCGUACCGCAAAACGGAGGAAACUGACCUCCUACGGUCGAAACGGGGGUCCUGUUGAUCGGGAGGGGUGUGGCGUACCACAAAACGGAGGAAACGGACCUCCUACGGUCGAAACGGGGGUCCUGUUGAUCGCGAGGGGUGUGGCAUACCGCAAAACGGACGAAACAGACUUGUGUUGGAGCACUACGGUCUAAACGGGGGUCCUGUUCAUCGGGAGGGGUGUGGCAUACCACAAAACGGGACUCCACGGGAUACUGUUCAUCUCCAUCGUCGACCUCCUCCAGCCUCCACGGGCUCCUGUUCAUCCAGCCUCCACCGUGCGCUACUCCACCGGCUACUGUUCAAUCACCCCUCCACGGGCACCCCUCCACCGUCUACUGUUCAUCUAGCCCUCCACACCACGGGGUCCUAUUCAACCACCCCUCCACGGGCACCCCUCCACCAUCUACUGUUUAUCCAGCCCUCCACACCACAGGGUCAUGUUCAUCCAGAGGCAAACGCCAUUGCUCACUGUUCAUCCACCCCCCCAACGCUCACUGUUCAUCCAAUCGAUCGGCUUCAGUUACCAGCAGUAGCGAAGGAAUCGCUCGAUCGGGUUCAGUUAACAGCCAUCGAUCGAUUGCUCGGGUUCAGUAACGCGUAGCCUGCAGUGCAAUCGCUCGGGUUUAGUUAGAGCCCAACGCCUUGCUCGGGUUUAGUUAGAGACAACGCCUCACACACACGUGCAUACGUGUAUGAGAUAAACGCGCAUCGCUCGGCCCCCGACCUCCCACCGUAACCGGGAACUCCCCGAAAUUUUCCUCGCCCUCACUUCUACCACGUUUUUUCCGUCAUGGACGGCCCAAAGAAUGUCAUGCAACUGCGUCUCCGGCCCGCCCAGGACGAAAAGCCCAUUUUCUAUCAUGAUUUUUUGUCAUAGAAGUAGGAGCCCACCACAUCUAUGAUGAUACCGGGUUUUGUCACAAUUAUCGUCAUAGAAGUGUCAUAUGUAUGACAGAAAAAAAAUUCGUUCGACCCAAAAUGUCACGGAUGUGUCUUUUUUUGUAGUGAGGAUUGGUCCAUACACAUGCAAUUCAGGGGUCAUAGCACCAGAAAUUUCCACUUCAAAGGAAUCAAAACAUCCACACUGCAUAGCCAUAAAUGUAUUUCUACUCUAUGAAAAAAUCCUAAAUAAUCGGUUGGAAACGUCGCAAACCCCGGGUCGCCGCAUCUUCAUUCGAAGGAUGCUCACCUGAAGUAGGUGCUGCGGGAGAUGAUGAGGCGGUGCAGAAGGUAGGUGUCUCCCAUGGCCUCGACGACGACAUCGGAGAAGGCGCCAGAGCCGAAUCCCUCUGCCUGGACAUGUUCAUAGAGUGCCACCAGGUUGCAGUCCACGGGGCGGAGCUCCGCCCCCGAGACCGCGAGCUCGUACAGUUGCGGCGCCCCUGCCGGUGCGGGCAAGGCCGCCGCCCCCUCCAGCGGCACGGGCGGCAACGUGUUUGGAUGCUCGCCGCGACAUGGAGGUCAAGGGGCUAGGGUUUUAGUUGGUGGCAAGUCUGUGCGAUGGCCGAUGAGGACGGGAAUGGGAUCAAUCGGGAAGAGGAAGAAAUCCUGCUUCAGGGGGUUCAUAGUUUACUGUCUUUUAUGUUUUUUUCUUACGUUACAGCCGGAAGGUGGAAACGAAAGGCAUGACGUUGGGACAGAUAGUUGGGCUUCCUUUUUCUAUUUGCCUAUUGAGACCAUUGGGCUUCGGUAUGUAUUUAAGUCCGCACAUAAAAUGUCGAUAAAAAUAGUUUAAAAGGAAAAUAAUUGUUUAUGUGGUAGUUUGCUGAGGUGGAUAGGCUGUAUGUCAAGACAAAUAUGAUAGUGGGGAUGAACUAUUUAGGUAUUAUAGAUAAGCACAUGACAACCUCUCCUUCCCUCUGCGAAGGGCCUAUCUUUUACUUUUAUGUUUUAUGCAUUUACUUUUAUGAAGUGUCAAAGUUUUCUUUCCUAUUCCUUUUUUUAUUUUCUCCUUUUGCAAGCACCAUGUGGUGAGGAAAGAUCUAGGCACAUAUAUUCAGUUGGAUAUGAGUGGGCAUGAGUUAUUAUUAUUGACAUCGCCCUUGAGGUGAAUACAUUGAGGGAAAACUAUAAGCCCUGAUCUUUCUAUGUGUAUGAUUGAAACUUUUUGUUCAUGGGUAUGGUGUGAGUGUCAGCAAUCAUAGAAGAUUAAAUGAUGGUUGAGUAUGUGGACUUGCCUAAAGGCUCCGAUACGCGACCCUUCGUGAAAAUAUGAUGAAUUGUAGCUGCAAAGUUGACUGAGAACAUAAUUUUUUUAGGGGAAGACUGAGAAUAUAGUUUGUUGGUUUUCAAUAAGGUUUAUGCUUUUAUACUUCAAUGUUGUGAUGAAUUGUUACUUGCUCAUGAGAAGUUAUAUGAUAAAUUUGUUAUGUUAAAGUUUUUUGCUGUUAUAAUAAUAUGCAUGAUGCUUCUAUGUCCGGAUUUUGUUUUUAGCGACACCUCUCUCUCUAAGCAUGUGGACAUGUUUUUCGAUUUCGGUUUUUCGCUUGAGGACAAGCCAGGUCUAAGCUUGGGGAGUUGAUACGUCCAUUUUGCAUCAUGUUUUUCUACUGUUAUUUAUAAUGUUUUUAUGCAUAAUAAUGCUUUUGGGAGUAACUCUAAUGCCUUUUCUCUCAUAAUAUGAAGGUCUACAGAAAGAGGGAGAAUACCGGCAGCUGGAAUUCUGGACCUAAAAAAGCACGUCAGAGCUACCUAUUCUAUACAACUCCAAAUAGGCUGAAACUUCAGGGAGAUUUUUUAUGGAUUAUUUAAGAAUUAUUGGAGCAAAUAACUACCAGAGGGGGCCCACCAGGUGGGCACAUCUCACCUGGGUGCACCAGGGAGCCCAGGCGCGCCCUGGUGGCUUGUGCCCUCCUCGGCGCACCUCUGAUGCCCCUCUUCUGGUAUAUAAGUCAUUUUGACCUAGAAAAAAAUCAGGAGAGGACUUUUGGGAUCCAAAAAACCAUGCAACCAUGCGUCCCUUGCAGGCCCACAUGCCGUGGGGUCCGAGCAUAGCCGUGAGGGACUUUCCUUGACAGAAUAUAUAACAUCCUACUAUGGAGCCCGCAAAGGGGUCCCCUCGCUCUCCAUUAUCUUCUUCCCUAGAGGUGAGACAUAAUUCUCUACCCCAUCGCUGCCUCGCACAUGUAUUCUUUCUCAUAUGGUUGAGGCCAUCUGCCCAGCAUCGACCCCCUCUCUCGAGGAUGUCGGUGACCUCCCCUAUCCUUCUCACUCGAUUGCACUCCCUCGAAUGACCUCCCCCAUAUUCUCUCUGUCCCCCAUCUCCCAACGAGGUAGCACGCCGCGAGGCGUUAAUGCAAGCAGACGUGCUAGUGGCUGUGGGCUAUGGCAAGGAAGGCGACACUGCUCCUUUUUCACGCUCAGGCCGGUACUCGAUGUUACAAAGGGUGAGAUACUUGGCUGGGACCGGCAGUGAUUUUUCCUGUAACAAGUGAUUGAUUUUGCUAGGGAUCUGCAACGGUAGUGGUUUUGGUUGUGAUUGGCAACGGAUUUUGCUGUGACUGACGACAAUUUUUGCUCGAACAACGAUGAUUUUGAUGCAACCAGUGGUGCGCCCUAAGCCACGACACAAUAGGGGAUGUUGUAACCUUGCUACAACGAAUUACAGUUGUCCCUGAUGGGUGUGGGUGGCGCUCGAGGCGUGCUCUCUCCUUGCGCAGGGUGUGAUUUUGGGGGCAAAUAAAAAGCAAUGUGAGGGGAAAAUUUGACGGUUGAGAAACGAUGCAAUUGACGCACGGGAUGCGUCCAUCCGAGGGGAUGGCGUCGGUCGACCGAAGCCUAGCACCACCCUUUCUAAUGAGGGGGUACGAGGGAUUUUCGCUCUUCCUUUUAGUUCAAAUGAUUGAAGGGUAGCAUCAACAUUUAAGUCCAACUCUACAAACAAACAAAGACCACAUAACCCCCCGGGGUUUCACGAACCGGCCAAUUUACCCCCCGAAGUCUAAAACCGGGUAAAUAACCCCUUGAUCUUUUCCAAACCAUGUUAAUCACCCCCUAACCCUGGUUAGAGUGGUUUUGUAGGUGGUUUUGAUGACGUGGUGAGGCGCUCCUCAUUCGCGACAUGCACCUGGCUUGGACCAUACUACUCCGAGCACGAACCAGUCUCGUACCAGUCACGGCACAGGACAUCAACAUGUAGCUCGCCGAGUCCCACACUUCUAACUUUGUGAUCUUCUUGGCAGUGAGCCUUCCCAGCUCCAGGUCGUGCAGCCCACACGAAGCCAACGUCGAAAGGCAUCCCCUCGACCAGGCAGGCCAACGUCGUUGAACCUGCUCUCCGGCCUAGUGCAUGCGCCCAAGGUUUGCCGGAUCCUUAUGGCCAUCUGCGCCAUAGCGCUCCUGCUGCGUCCCGCGUGACCAGUGGCUGGUACAGUCGUACUCAUGCUCUCCGAAGCGGACAGUGGAGGUCGUCUACGAUGGUGACGAGCAAGACAUGAGCACUGGAAGCGACGAGGAACUGGCGAGCCGCGUGCACUUGAGGAGGUAGGCACGAGGUCCCGAUGGCACGUGAACUCGAGCUCCGCUGGAGAAAAUAAACACGUACAUAUAUACUGCUGUUGAAUUGAUUCUCUCCUGGAGCACACACGUACACACAAGAAGCUCGUGCCACCAUGUACAAGUUGGAUAUGACUAUUCUAAUCGUGAUUAGCUCUAAUGAUGGACGUCGUCAGCUGCCGGUGGCAGCCCCAGCCGCAGGUGGCAUGGGCGCGAGCUCGAUAUGUGGUGCAGGUGCGAGCUAUUGUCAACUUGAGGACGACGCGAACGCGGCCGGCGAGGGCUGCCGAGGCGACUAAGGCAACGACGAUACAGUCGCGUGUGCUUGCUUUUGGAGCUGGUGCGCCGCUAGGAGCCGGGAGCCUUGCCAAUUUGCCAUCUGAUUGACGCACCAAUUUUUUUACAGAGGACGGAGCUCCAGAAGCCAUCCCGCCGGGGUUCAAGGAGAGUACGAAGGCGAGGGGUCACGCAGAGUGGGCGCAACAGUAGUAGUACAUCAUGCGACACAAGGUACUUCAUGUACCAUGCUGGGCUUAGCUCCCUCGUGGCCGGCUGCUCGUUGGUGCUACCACGAGGUCGACGAGUGGUUUGGGCGCGACGCGCGAUGGCAGAAGGAUCGGAGGAGGACAGGAACCGUGCCGACCUGGCACCUGCAAUCUGCCCAGUCACCAAAACCGCUUGAAAAAACAGUCUAGUAGGUGUGAGGGGGUGAUUCACCUGGUUUGGGAAAGAUCGGGGGGUUAUUUACCCGGUUUUAGACUUCGGGGGGUAAAUUGUCCGUUUCAUGAAACCUCAGGGGGUUAUGUGGACUUCUUUCCAUUCCCUCAACAACAAAAAAAGACCCAUUGUACAACCAUCUCAAAAGGGAAAGAAAGGGUGCGGCUUCUUCGCCACCGCCGAUGGCGCAGUCGCUGGUGAUGACCGCGAUAUCCCGCCUCCGCGGUGCCGCCACCCACUCCUGCGGCGGGCACUGGCGCCGCCUCUUCUCCCGCUCCCCCGCCGCCUGCGCUCCUCUCCUCGGCCACUUUCACCACCCCACUCCGACGCCGCCCAGUCCCAAAACCCCAGCUCCGUUCCCCACCGUGCCCCCUUCCGCCUCCGCCUCCGCCUCGGCCCCCGCGUUCCAACCCCUCACCUCCUCCUCCCCGCGCCUCUCCCUGGACUUCAUCCCUCCCGGCUUCUCCCUAUUCGACUCCCACCUCGGCCUCCUCGUCCUCCUCAAGGAGACAGAGCCAUACUCCUACCUCAAGCACCCCCAGAUCCUCGUCUGCGACCCGGUCUCCCGCCGCACCGCGCUUCUCCCUCCGGGGAUGGUCACCUGCACGUUUAGCAAGCUCGUAAGCGUCGUGAUCCUCUCCCGCGACGCGGACGACCCGGCCGGGUCCGGGCUCUGCUUCCGGGCAGCCGUCGUCACCCUCGAGGACACCACGCUGCGUGCCUUCGUGGCGAUGUUCCGCGACGGCCUGUGCCAUUGGGAGUGUCUGCUUCGGUCACAGGCGAGAUGCAACGUCGACCAGCUGGAGCGCCACUGCGUGCGCGCUAGCCGGUUCCUCAUCUGGCACAUCCGCGACGAAGGUGCCGUGCUCACAUUUGACCCUGAGACACUGGAGUUCGGCUUUGUGCUCGCGCCGGCCGCACUCGACAUGGGGGAUCACUUUCUCAAGUACCGCGUCGGGGUGAUGCCGGACGGGGAGUAUUUAACAAAAAAAAACUACCACAUUUCAUGGAACCGUGCCUACAAACUACCACUUUACAAUUUUGUGCCGAAAACUACCACUUUUUCACUAAUCUUUGACUAAAAACUACCAUGUCGAAAAAUGGUCAAGUCACCUCUUCUAAACGCCUUUCUAAUAGGAUGGGCCCACCUGUCAGCAUCAAUCUUCUUCCCCCUCCUCCUUCCUCUCUCUCUGGCAUUUCGUCAAACACCUCAUGUGCACUCCGUGCUCUUCUCAAUGACGACGCCCCGGUGAAGCACGCGACGGCGGCCAGCAGAUGGAAGCCCAGCGUCCUGGACGACGAGGUCGCUGAGCCUCACCACCUGGCUGCUCCCGGUCACCAGAGCCUUCCUCUCCUCCAUCUCCUCCUCCGGUGCCAGCGCGCGCACACAGGCAGCCGCAGCCGGCGCCGGCUCCCACGCACGCGGCAAAGCAGUCCAGCACCCUGCCCCCAUGCGCCAUAGCCGCAGCCUCGCCUCUGGCCUUUCUCAGACUCGCCGCAGCCUCGCCAUUAAGUUGGCCUCUCUCCUUUUCACGGAUUAAUGGCAGGAGCUAGUCAUGGCUGUCGCCUUGCCCGGGCUCGAGCUCAGCCAUGGUCGCGCCUGGCCGCGCUUGCUGCUCCUGCUACUCCUUGCGGCCUGCGCCGGCUGCUCCCUGCUACUCCUUGUCACCUGCGCCCGGGCUCGAGCUCAACCAUGGUCGCGCACGGACGCGCUUGCUCCUCCUGCUACUCCUUGCCGGCCGCUCCCUGCUGCUCCUUGUCUCUCGCGCCUGCUGCUAUUCCUUGACGACCGCCGUUGCUGCUGCUCCUUGCCUUGCCGGACGGCGCUGAGGGGUGCACCGCCGUCGUGCUCCGGGGUGCAUCGCCGCGCUCUGGCCAGAGGAGCGCUGCCGCGUGCAAUGGAGGGGCGCACCGCCGCCCUGCUGGAGGUCGUGCUCAGGACAGAGGGGGAGAAGGAUGAGGAGGGUUGGCCGGGGGUUGGAUGGGCCAGCCGCCGAGCUGCGCGUGCUCUCGCUCGCCGGCGAGCUCCCAGCCGUGGAGCACGAAAACAAGGUGUUUGUUGAAAUGUCUAAGAAAGAUAUGGGAGGAGCAAGAAGAUAGACACUGACGUGUGGGACCAACUAGUCAGAAACGCGUUUAAAAGAGCCGAAUCGGGCUCUUUUCAGACUUGGUAGUUUUUAGUCAAGGAUUAAUAAAAAAAUGGUAGUUUUCGGCACAAAUUUGUAAAGUGGUAGUUUGUAGGCACGGUUCCAUGAAUUGUGAUAGUUUUUUAUUAAAUACUCCCGGACGGGCGGUUCUGCUUCGGUUCGAUGUCAAUGGAUCACGAGAACCUGGAGCUCCGGGUGCUGGGGCCCGGGCCGAAGGACGGCCAGAACGUGUGGGUACUGGAGAGGGAAGUGUGCUUGCUCCAGGCGUUCGACGAAAUGCCGCAGCUGCCCUCGAGCUUCAUCGCCCGGCGCAAGUGCACCUGGCUGAGCGACAUGGACGCCGGGCGCACCGGGAGGGUGUUCAUCGGCACGUCGGGCUAUGGGCACUACUCGUACCAUCUGGACACCCGGAAGCUCGAGCGCCUAGUGACGGACGACGGCGAGGAGUACGGGCACCCCAUGUUUGCCUACUUCUCCUUCCCGGGCUUGGAUGACGGCUCUGACUGACCGACUCCUGGUAAUUAAUCUUGUCCUCGCAUCCCAGUUACAUGUAAUGUCGGUUUAUGAGUAAUGCUUAGUCAGAAGAUAUCUGUUUGUAGUUUUGUUGCCUUGUGUACUUUGUUGAAACUAUAUUAGUUUUACUAUUUGUCAACCCAGUUCAUCAAUAGUUCAUAAUUAGGGGAAUAUAUGCAUUCAAAGAAUUUCAAACUCUAGCGUGUGUUCUGAUAUUUUUCUGUAAAAAAAGCGUGUUAUCUGAUCUUUUUCGUUAAAAAAAGUGUGUUCUCUGAUGGCCGUGUUGUGUUUAUUGAAGCUUGGAUGCCUACUCGCAUUAUAUCCUCUUGGUCUGUAGAAGUAACAUUAGACUCAUGAACUCCGGUGAAUAUAUGGUCUUUUUUUGUCACAAGUCAUUUUCGUAAACAAAUUGGCUUGUUAUUCGCUUAGAGAACCCCUAUUUCACUGGGAACUGUGCUGAUAACUCUGCAUUUCUUAUCAUUCAGGGUGAAGUGAGAGGAGGUACCGUGCGAUUUGCCUGAAGAUGGCUCAACCGUUGCAUAUCUGGUUACUUCCGUGCCUUAUUGCUCAGCAUUGAAGAUUGAACACAAAGUGGAUAAUGCUCCGAAUCUCUGAUUUCAUGUCCUUGAUGGGACUAUUUAAACAAUGUUGUUGCGAUGUUUGCUAAGCAUGCUUCGGAGUAGACGGUGUCCUGAAGAAUCAGGUGAUGUUUUGAAGUAGUGUGCUGUUUCGUAAGGAUAGUCUCACAUUAUGCUGAGUUUUGGCAAACCAUAAGAAAUGCAGAGUUUAUCACUUCAUUGGCCACCAUCUCUAAUUUGUGGGCUACAUACAAGCCUACAAUCCAAAAUAGUCUAUCAGAACAACCUAUAAACAUUCUUGUAUUGCACAAUUCCAAGAAAUCAGUCUGUUUCGGAUGGUUAAGCUUAAAACCUGGUCAUUUGCACAAUAUGCCGGUUGCUUGUCAAACUGUUUUACUUCUUGGAACAUGCACAGUCUAAUGGCUGAAAUCCUUGCAGCUAAGGACAGUAGUGUCCAAGCCUGUAAGGAUAGUUUGCCUCCCGUUCAAAGAAGAGAAGAACAACACAAGUGAUCAACAGACGAAAUUUAGUGCAUAUUCUUUCUACCUGUAUAUAGACCUGCAAACCCAAACUCGGCAUGUAUGUAUGCAUCCAGUUCUUUCUCCGAAACAGAGGAGAUAGACAAAAAAGAAAAGUUUUGAUUGAUUCAUUCUGACCUCACCUAUCCCUACUCAUCAUCAUCAUAUUUCUACGUACCGCAUCGGCCCUGUGCUACCCACAAGGCCACAAACUCAACUAGAUUACAGGCAGACCAGACCAAACCCCACAACAAGGAAAAAAAGAAACACCAGCACCAACGAAAGUCACCAAACAGAAUACACAGGGAGGGAGGGCACGCUGCCCGUGCGUUUUCCGAACUUUUUUGCCUCGGAAGAAGAAGAAAAACUGCUCCACGAACCAACCGGGGAUGUACGACGGCCU